This 65891-nucleotide long non-coding RNA is filed under the name Sorghum bicolor (sorghum). Its description in RNAcentral is "long non-coding RNA (SBIC_LNC015987)". The record is from RNAcentral. Lineage: Eukaryota; Viridiplantae; Streptophyta; Magnoliopsida; Poales; Poaceae.
UCUCUGAGUUAGAAUAAACUGUUAAGACUUAAAACUUACUCAUUUUACCUUUCACCAUGGGGCUUGUAACGUCACUUGUGUCUUGAGCAGUUAAAAGAUAGAACGGUCAAGUCAAGCACCAUGUAUCUUGUUCUUUGAUCAACUAUAGCUCUGGAGUUUUUGCAGAUUUUCAAAUAAAACUCAGAGAUUCCUUGUAUAAUUCUCUCAAGUCUCUCUUUUGUGGUAUUUCUGGAUCCUUACCAAGGCAGUAAUGGGAUAUGCCUUCUCUCACAGUAUGUGGUAUUUUUGGUAUGAGGCAUAGUGAUAUUGCCUUCUCUCUCACCCUACUCUAGUAAGGUUUUGAUAUCUGGAGCUCAUAGGUGGGAGACAGCUAAUACAUACUUACAAGACAUUUAUUGCAUAGUCAAACCAUGGAUACAGAGAAACAAGUCAAUAAGUCAAAUCAAGAUGUGCAUGUGUGGCGAGUGAAUGGUGUAUGGUGAUGAUGGAGAUAACAAUGGUGAAAGUCUAAUUCUACUUUUGCUCUUUUAAGGGGAUACAUACCUUUCUUGCACUUAGAAGCUUUUUGGGGAGAAUAGAUGCUCUAUAUUUUCUUUUUCUUACCUCUCAGGUGGGUAUCUUGUACACUUUUUCUUUUCUUCGAGGUUCCAGGCACUUGCCCCUUUUUAUUUCCGCGUAUAUUUUUUUUUCUCUCUUUUUUUUAGAGCACUCAUCUCCUGAAAUAAUGUAGCAAGUGGUAGUAACCAAAAUAACUGGAGCAUUUAUUUCACAAGGGGAAACAGAAAUAUUUUUGGUUAUUCUCUCCCGGAUUAGGAGUAGAAUACUUUUGGGUGGUUUUGGAGAUGGAAAUGAGUGGAUAUAUGUGGAUGGUACUUCCGGAGUAGAAGUAGCAUGUAAGAGUGAACGUGCAAGUGAAUCUUGAUUUAACCACAUGACAAGCUCCUAAGGGUCUACACAGCUUGACCACACUCAAUGCUCAUAAGCAGUAAAUAGUAAAUGUGUGGCUCAAGGUCUAGCAAGCAUGUAUAUAUGCUGUGGUAGGAAUUUAAACUCUCAUCAUACAGGAACUCAUCAUGCAACAUUUUAAAGAUUUUCAAAGAUAAAAUUCUCCAGAAUUCUAGCAUCUCUAGGAACAGAUAAACAGCAGCUCAACCUUCCCAUAUCGUAUCCGUUAACAACUUAGACUUCAGAUCAAGUUUUCAUCCCACAAAUUUAGGUCUAGAGCAAGCCUUAAAUUAUAACACUUAUAUCUAAACUUGAGAGAGAACUUCAAAUUUGCAAAUUAGGCAGAGUAACUAUUCAUCAUAUCCAUGCUUAAGUUUUAUUAGAUACCGAUUAGCAUAGCCACUUUAUUUAUUUAUUAAACACACUAAGCAAAAUAUAUAUAAGCAUAAAAUAUUUAUUUGGUUUUUUAUAGUUAUGUGUAUUUAUAUUCUAAAAUAAUAUAAGUAUGAAGAUAGAUAGAAAUACUUAUCGAGGUAAAUGGGGGUGCUCUCCCCCAAGCUGAAUUUUGACGUAAUUUCUCUUGAUGUAGCUAGCAGGUGGCAGAGGUGUAUUUGAAAGUCAGCAGCAUUCUGACAGCAAUUAGAAUGUCCUCCGUCUGCUAGUCUUCUUGAUUCUUAAAUUCUGUGGAGCUCAAAUAGACAACAAAGCUUGUGGAACUCUUGGCAAGGCGUUCGGUGUUUUUAAGUCCUCCGAAUGGGACUCCUUGUGUUUUCAGUCAUCCUGGGAUUAGCUAGGUGGCGUAGUCGGUGAUUCCGGUGGCGCCUCCUCUUUGUGUAUAACUAUGUUCUCUUUCCACACCUGACUCGGUGCUACGGUCUCCUCAGGACAGUUCUGUUCAAGUUGUAUGUCUUCAGUCCUUAUCACUUUUCCUUCGUAGUCUACCCGUCCGUCCUUGAUGAUUUGCCUCCUCUAGUUGCGGUUGCGUUGUCUUCUUCUUGUCCUGACCUGCUUAGAAUCUUCAACUAUAUAGUUAGGGUCAGUAAAAUAACGGCGUACCUUCUCUGAGGGGAAGUGCAUAUGGACUUCUCCGGUUCCAAUGUAGAUAAUUGCUUUAACGGUACUGAGGAACGGUCUUCCAAGGAUGGUGGAUGGAUCAUAUUCGUCUUCUCCCAUAUCAAUGACCUGAAAAUUGUCUGAAGCUGAAUGUAUCUUGGUUGUAGGGGCAUGGUUCCGUGCAGGAGGUGAUAAGUGACUGCGGCCAUUAUGUUGUCGUCAGAUCCGGUGUCGUAGAGUGUCUUCUGAAAAGAGUAUUCGUUGAUUGUGCACUUGAUGCUUGAAACACCAGGGUCGUUCUUCUUGAUCAAGAAAGGUCACUUGAGUCGACGAUCUUGACCUCCUUGAGCUGCAGUGACCAUCUCAGCUGACUCGGUCCACAUUUGCUUGUUCUUCUUCCUCCUGUUGGUCCUCUUCCUUGGUUCAUGUUAGGAUUGCUCUGAAGUUUGUGUAGUCUUGUUCUUGAAGGAAAGUCUCCUUCUUCCCCUUGAUGUAGAAACGGAUCUUGGCAGCAUUAGCGUAGAUGACAGCUCUGGUGUUUAGGAAUGGCCUCCCUAAGAUGAUGGGUGCUCUCUCAUCAUUUCCGGUCUCUACCACUACGAAGUCUGCUGGGGCAUACAAGGUACCAACUCGGACACAAAGGUUCUUCAAUAUUCCUUUUGGAAAAGUUAUCGCCUGAUCUCCAUUGUGUUUGUGCUUGUAGAUCCCGGUUCUUCACAUGAUGGAAUCUGGGAGUUGUAAAACGCCUUCACGUUUCUCAAAAUGUGUCCUGCUCAUAGAGACAAGGCAGAGAUCAAGUGCAUGGGCCCUGUUGGUGGAAAACACCAACAGAACCAAAAGUGUAUUUGUUCUUCUCUAACCUUAAGCAUAGUGAGCAAGACAAAGUUGAUGGAUCAUGAGUGUAGCAUUUAAAACAUUUGUUAGAUCAGAUGGCUCAACCUAAUGGAAAGAUAAUCUAUCUAUAUUUAUGUUUUGUUUAUAUCUUCCAAAGAUUGAAUGUGCAAUACUUUAGCUUAUAUGAUUAGGAGUGUGGGAUCACAAAGGUAGUACCAAGAACAAAGAUUAAAGGACUAAACAUGUUGAAUUAAUUGGGUUGAUUAAUUUGGAGCCACAAAUCAUACAUGUUUGUCUCUUUAUUUUAUGUGAACGCUAGAACCAAGGAGAAGUUUAUAAAAGUGAUAGUCAAGUACCUUAAAAUGUUACCUUACCUGAGGAGUGACGGUACAGUAUCACCUUGUGGAAGCUUUCCUUUCUUAGCGGUUGUGCAUCGUGUUUGUGGCACCCUCCAUAGAUCAUAUCUUUAUGAUGAAUGAGCUAUGUCCUUCUUGUGCAAAUUGUUAAACUUCAUGUGUCUCCUUUAUCUCCAAUGAGUUUGUAUCUCAGGACUUCCCAGGUUGAUAUUGAAAGUUUUCCUGCAGGGGUUAGUCCAACAAAAUAUACCAAUAUCUACUCAAGCAGUUUUUAGUUCAGUAACCAAACUAGACUCCAUGUCUAAUCAGAUUAAGGAAGGCUAUUUAACCUAAGCACCACGCUUAAUUUAAAUGCCAUUGGAAGUGUGUCUAGUACUUCCAAACUAACACUUACUAGGAUAAACAAAGGUAGCAUGAUGGCUUUUAUAGAGAUCUACUCAAGUGGAGAUGAAGUAGUGUGAUUAGUAUUUAACAAAUUGAGUAUGUCUCAAAGGUAAGGACAACCAACAUAGCAACAUGGCAAAGGAUGUUUUAUGUAAAGUACUCCCCCAAGCUUGAAUUUUGCAAAAUUCAAGAUUGGAUGAAUUUAAUUUAAUGUUGCAUGAUGAUUGGUUGGGCAUACCUUGCGCUUGUCAUUCAUCCGAUCUUCUUGCUCCAAUCCUAGAAAGGUUAGUGGCAAGAAUACCCGAAGGAAUAUUUCUACAAUUAUCUUUAUAUGCUCAAUACACAAGGCAAUGUUGCAAAUAAUUAGAAGUGCUUGUUUUAGGACACUAAGCUUGUCCUUGGGAAACCAUCAAUUAACUCAACGAGAUCUGCAAUAUUUAUUAUAGACAUAUGCAUCGACAACCGCUCUUUUAAAGUUUUUAUAAAUAGAAAAGAAGAGAGGGUUGGAGAUCUCAAAUGUGAUAAGGAUGGAGAGACUAAUUGAUUGGAGAGAUGUUUUAUAUGAGCAAGGACUGGGUAAGGUAUUUAUGAAAUAACUUCCAUGCUCACUGUUGUUUCUCUCAUUCUCAAACUCCAAGGAUGAUUCUUCAUGAAUGCUAAAAAUUCCUCUAGGAUUGUCUCUCAAGUUUGUUUUAUCUAUCCAUUCAAUGGUGAUAGCACAUGGAUUUUUAAUGCCCUCUAGCCAUUGAUGUUGCUCUUCUCGAUCCUCCUUCUUAUGCAUGGGAUGUCUAGAUAGAUUUAUAGGAUUAUCGGGAGGUUCAAGAGAAAGAGCAUAGUAGAAAUUGUUAAGCUCAAGGAUGGGUUGGAUAGCCGAAUCAUGGGAUUGGAAUGUUUGGAAAUCGGCUAUUGAAACUUCCUUUCCUUGUCUGGGAGAUGAUUCCUUCUCUAUCUCUAAGAUUUUUCUAUGAAGACUAGUGCAAGAAGGAUGUCCACAAAUGAAGACAUACCUUCCUUUACUAAUAGAUAAAGAAAGAAGGACUCCACCAAAGGUUAUAUGAUUAAGACCAAUGUGAAAAUAUCGAGAAAAAACAUGGUCUUGUAGGGCUAGGUCUAAACCAGAAUUUAUAGAAAGAUUAACAGAUUCCCUAGGUGUAGCUAAAAGGGCAUUAUCUUCUUGAUUAAAAGAUAGGACCUCGGCUAUAGAAAAGGGUUGGUUUUGACCUAUUGCAAUCAACUCCGGACACAGAUCAUAAUUAGGGGCAGGACGUGUUGACUCCCAUGGUCUAUGGCUGAUCUCCGAAGGUGCAAAGAAUUCAAUAAUAGGUAUGGAAUUUGAGUUAUCCAUAAAGAUAAAAAUAAAAAGAUAAAAGAAUAAAAGUAUAAAAGUAUAAUACAAGAUAAUAGCAAGACUCAAAGUUAUCUCAGCAAACCGUCUUUCUCCCAGGCAACGGCGCCAGAAAUGCUUGUUGAUAUUUGGUAACGCAAUUAUAAAAUGAUCCGCAAGCGCACGGAUAUCGGUGAGCAUUUCACCCGGGAGGUUAUCCAGAGUUAUCGUAUUUAUAUUUUUACCACUGGGAGAAAGGGUGCAUCUGACUAACCAAAUCUAUUGCUACUACCCCUUUAGGCUACAAAGAAUGUUUCUCGAUGUGAGUGAUGUAUAGAGAAGACUGCAACCGUAGUCUCAUUCUAACCUUGGUAAGGAUGAUCUACUGUUCUAUUGGGGAGGCUCACGGAAUCUAGACAACACAAAGGAUGUUCGACCCGCACCUAUAAACCUACCCGUCCUGCUAACGAGAUGUGAUCUACAAAGGUAACUCGGAAAUGUCACGUUCCUCGCUACUACCACGGUCCAGCUAGUCAGGGGAUAUCUAUGAGUACCCUAGCCUAAACACCACGUUUACGCUAACAAGUGAUUACUCUAAUACUCAACCGGAAGAGGAUUAAAGUAAACUCAUAAACCAAAGAACAAUAAAACAAGAACUUACUAGUAUUAGAAGUCGAAUUACUGAAGAAUCUUAGAAGCAAGCCUCGGGUUAGGAGACUUGAUCCCGUAGGUACAACUCGGAGUAGACACCGACAGGCCGGCCUUCCUCCGAUCCAUACCUCCACUCUAUCUCUCUCAAUCUAGUAGAAACUAGAAGAUUUAUUUCUACUUUACAUUGGUUGCUAAGCCUAAAAAGAAAUAUUAUUUAGAGAAGAGGUUUUCCUUCGAGGGCACCCCUCAAUCUCUAUGAUAAUUUCUUGUCUCCUCCAGGGGCCAGAGGGGGUCUCCUUAUAUAGUCCUCCCCUUCUAUGCAUUUUUGGGUCGAUAGGCGAGGUGGUACUAUGUUAUUCUGGAUCCAAUAGGUCGGUGGAACGUCGUGUGCGAAGAGAGUCCGGAACGGAGUCCAGAGGUGGGCGGGCGCCCAGGUCCUCAGGGCGGGCGCCCUGGGCCUGGCCCCUUUCGGGCUCUGCUUCCUUCCCGUGGCUUCUGGAGUCUUCUAGAUGGUAGAAAAUUGCACGGUGGGUUGAUAUCUCUAUGUAAUCCCGACAUGUGGGCCUUUCUUCCUUAUUUCCUGAUAACCCCCUGCAGAAAUAGACAAACACCAAAACUCGUAGAAUUCUGUCAGAUAAAACCCUAGGUCUAGGUGUUGGUUGCAUUUGGAUCCUUUUCUUUAUUUAUUUGAUGAUUAUAUUUGGUACUUAAGGACCGUCAACAACUCCCCCAAGCUUACCUCUUGCUCGUCCCUGAGCAAGGAUGGACUCAAGAGUUUCUGCAGUGGUUUUAUUUCUUAGAAGUACACACGCAUUUAAGCAAGAUCUCAUCUCUGAGUUAGAAUAAACUGUUAAGACUUAAAACUUACUCAUUUUACCUUUCACCAUGGGGCUUGUAACGUCACUUGUGUCUUGAGUAGUUAAAAGAUAGAACGGUCAAGUCAAGCACCAUGUAUCUUGUUCUUUGAUCAACUAUAGCUCUGGAGUUUUUGCAGAUUUUCAAAUAAAACUCAGAGAUUCCUUGUAUAAUUCUCUCUAGUCUCUCUUUUGUGGUAUUUCUGGAUCCUUACCAAGGCAGUAAUGGGAUAUGCCUUCUCUCACAGUAUGUGGUAUUUUUGGUAUGAGGCAUAGUGAUAUUGCCUUCUCUCUCACCCUACUCUAGUAAGGUUUUGAUAUCUGGAGCUCAUAGGUGGGAGACAGCUAAUACAUACUUACAAGACAUUUAUUGCAUAGUCAAACCAUGGAUCCAGAGAAACAAGUCAAUAAGUCAAAUCAAGAUGUGCAUGUGUGGCGAGUGAAUGGUGUAUGGCGAUGAUGGAGAUAACAAUGGUGAAAGACUAAUUCUACUUUUGCUCUUUUAAGGGGAUACAUACCUUUCUUGCACUUAGAAGCUUUUUGGGGAGAAUGAGAUGCUCUAUAUUUUCUUUUUCUUACCUCUCAGGUGGGUAUCUUGUACACUUUUUCUUUUCUUCAAGGUUCCAGGCACUUGCCCCUUUUUAUUUCCUCGUAUAUUUUUUUUCUCUCUUUUUUUUAGAGCACUCAUCUCCUGAAAUAAUGUAGCAAGUGGUAGUAACCAAAAUAACUCGAGCAUUUAUUUCACAAGGGGAAACAGAAAUAUUUUUGGUUAUUCUCUCCCGGAUUAGGAGUAGAAUACUUUUGGGUGGUUUUGGAGAUGGAAAUGAGUGGAUAUAUGUGGAUGGUACUUCCGGAGUAGAAGUAGCAUGUAAGAGUGAACGUGCAAGUGAAUCUUGAUUUAACCACAUGACAAGCUCCUAAGGGUCUACACAGCUUGACCACACUCAAUGCUCAUAAGCAGUAAAUAGUAAAUGUGUGGCUCAAGGUCUAGCAAGCAUGUAUAUAUGGCUGUGGUAGGAAUUUAAACUCUCAUCAUACAGGAACUCAUCAUGCAACAUUUUAAAGAUUUUCAAAGAUAAAAUUCUCCAGAAUUCUGGCAUCUCUAGGAACAGAUAAACAGCAGCUCAACCUUCCCAUAUCGUAUCCGUUAACAACUUAGACUUCAGAUCAAGUUUUCAUCCCACAAAUUUAGGUCUAGAGCAAGCCUUAAAUUAUAACAGUUAUAUCUAAACUUGAGAGAGAACUUCAAAUUUGCAAAUUAGGCAGAGUAACUAUUCAUCAUAUCCAUGCUUAAGUUUUAUUAGAUACCGAUUAGCAUAGCCACUUUAUUUAUUUAUUAAACACACUAAGCAAAAUAUAUAUAAGCAUAAAAUCUUUAUUUGGUUUUUUAUAGUUAUGUGUAUUUAUAUUCUAAAAUAAUAUAAGUAUGAAGAUAGAUAGAAAUACUUAUCGAGGUAAAUGGGGGUGCUCUCCUCCAAGCUAAAUUUUGACGUAAUUUCUCUUGAUGUAGCUAGCAAGUGGCAGAGGUGUAUUUGAAAGUCAGCAGCAUUCUGACAGCAAUUAGAAUGUCCUCCGUCUACUAGUCUUCUUGAUUCUUAAAUUCUGUGGAGCUCAAAUAGACAACAAAGCUUGUGGAACUCUUGGCAAGGCGUUCGGUGUUUUUAAGUCCUCCGAAUGGGACUCCUUGUGUUUUCAGUCGUCCUGGGAUUAGCUAGGUGGCGUAGUCGGUGAUUCCGGUGGCGCCUCCUCUUUGUGUAUAACUAUGUUCUCUUUCCACACCUGACUCGGUGCUACGGUCUCCUCAGGACAGUUCUGUUCAAGUUGUAUGUGUUCAGUCCUUAUCACUUUUCCUUCGUAGUCUACCCGUCCGUCCUUGAUGAUUUGCCUCCUCUGGUUGCGGUUGCGUUGUCUUCUUCUUGUCCUGACCUGCUUAGAAUCUUCAACUAUAUAGUUAGGGUUAGUAAAAUAAUGGCGUACCUUCUCUGAGGGGAAGUGCAUAUGGACUUCUCCGGUUCCAAUGUAGAUAAUUGCUUUAACGGUGCUGAGGAACGGUCUUCCAAGGAUGGUGGAUGGAUCAUAUUCGUCUUCUCCCAUAUCAAUGACCUGAAAAUUGUCUGAAGCUGAAUGUAUCUUGGUUGUAGGGGCAUGGUUCCGUGCAGGAGCUGAUAAGUGACUGCGGCCAUUAUGUUGUCGUCAGAUCCGGUGUCGUAGAGUGUCUUCUGAAAAGUGUAUUCGUUGAUUGUGCACUUGAUGCUUGAAACACCAGGGUCGUUCUUCUUGAUCAAGAAAGGUGACUUGAGUCGACGAUCUUGACCUCCUUGAGCUGCAGUGACCAUCUCAGCUGACUCGGUCCACAUUUGCUUGUUCUUCUUCCUCCUGUUGGUCCUCUUCCUUGGUUCAUGUCAGGAUUGCUCUGAAGUUUGUGUAGUCUUGUUCUUGAAGGAAAGUCUCCUUCUUCCCCUUGAUGUAGAAACGGAUCUUGGCAGCAUUAGCGUAGAUGACAGCUCUGGUGUUUAGGAAUGGCCUCCCUAAGAUGAUGGGUGCUCUCUCAUCAUUUCCGGUCUCUACCACUACGAAGUCUGCUGGGGCAUACAAGGUACCAACUCGGACACAAAGGUUCUUCAAUAUUCCUUUUGGAAAAGUUAUCGCCUGAUCUCCAUUGUGUUUGUGCUUGUAGAUCCCGGUUCUUCACAUGAUGGAAUCUGGGAGUUGUAAAACGCCUUCACGUUUCUCAAAAUGUGUCCUGCUCAUAGAGACAAGGCAGAGAUCAAGUGCAUGGGCCCUGUUGGUGGAAAACACCAACAGAACCAAAAGUGUAUUUGUUCUUCUUUAACCUUAAGCAUAGUGAGCACGACAAAGUUGAUGGAUCAUGAGUGUAGCAUUUAAAACAUUUGUUAGAUCAGAUGGCUCAACCUAAUGGAAAGAUAAUCUAUCUAUAUUUAUGUUUUGUUUAUAUCUUCCAAAGAUUGAAUGUGCAAUACUUUAGCUUAUAUGAUUAGGAGUGUGGGAUCACAAAGGUAGUACUAAGAACAAAGAUUAAAGGACUAAACAUGUUGAAUUAAUUGGGUUGAUUAAUUUGGAGCCACAAAUCAUACAUGUUUGUCUCUUUAUUUUAUGUGAACGCUAGAACCAAGGAGAAGUUUAUAAAAGUGAUAGUCAAGUACCUUAAAAUGUUACCUUACUUGAGGAGUGACGGUACAGUAUCACCUUGUGGAAGCUUUCCUUUCUUAGCGGUUGUGCAUCGUGUUUGUGGCACCCUCCAUAGAUCAUCUCUUUAUGAUGAAUGAGCUAUGUCCUUCUUGUGCAAAUUGUUAAACUUCAUGUGUCUCCUUUAUCUCCAAUGAGUUUGUAUCUCAGGACUUCCCAGGUUGAUAUUGAAAGUUUUCCUGCAGGGGUUAGUCCAACAAAAUAUACCAAUAUCUACUCAAGCAGUUUUUAGUUCAGUAACCAAACUAGACUCCAUGUCUAAUCAGAUUAAGGAAGGCUAUUUAACCUAAGCACCACGCUUAAUUUAAAUGCCAUUGGAAGUGUGUCCAGUACUUCCAAACUAACACUUACUAGGAUAAACAAAGGUAGCAUGAUGGCUUUUAUAGAGAUCUACUCAAGUGGAGAUGAAGUAGUGUGAUUAGUAUUUAACAAAUUGAGCAUGUCUCAAUGGUAAGGACAACCAACAUAGCAACAUGGCAAAGGAUGUUUUAUGUAAAGUACUCCCCCAAGCUUGAAUUUUGCAAAAUUCAAGAUUGGAUGAAUUUAAUUUAAUGUUGCAUGAUGAUUGGUUGGGCAUACCUUGCGCUUUUCAUUCAUCCGAUCUUCUUGCUCCAAUCCUAGAAAGGUUAGUGGCAAGAAUACCCGAAGGAAUAUUUCUACAAUUAUAUUUAUAUGCUCAAUACACAAGGCAAUGUUGCAAAUAAUUAGAAGUGCUUGUUUUAGGACACUAAGCUUGUCCUUGGGAAACCAUCAAUUAACUCAACGAGAUCUGCAAUAUUUAUUAUAGACAUAUGCAUCGACAACCGCUCUUUUAAAGUUUUUAUAAAUAGAAAAGAAGAGAGGGUUGGAGAUCUCAAAUGUGAUAAGGAUGGAGAGACUAAUUGAUUGGAGAGAUGUUUUAUAUGAGCAAGGACUGGGUAAGGUAUUUAUGAAAUAACUUCCAUGCUCACUGUUGUUUCUCUCAUUCUCAAACUCCAAGGAUGAUUCUUCAUGAAUGCUAAAAAUUCCUCUAGGAUUGUCUCUCAAGUUUGUUUUAUCUAUCCAUUCAAUGGUGAUAGCACAUGGAUUUUUAAUGCCCUCUAGCCAUUGAUGUUGCUCUUCUCGAUCCUCCUUCUUAUGCAUAGGAUGUCUAGAUAGAUUUAUAGGAUUAUCGGGAGGUUCAAGAGAAAGAGCAUAGUAGAAAUUGUUAAGCUCAAGGAUGGGUUGGAUAGCCGAAUCAUGGGAUUGGAAUGUUUGGAAAUCGGCUAUUGAAACUUCCUUUCCUUGUCUGGGAGAUGAUUCCUUCUCUAUCUCUAAGAUUUUUCUAUGAAGACUAGUGCAAGAAGGAUGUCCACAAAUGAAGACAUACCUUCCUUUACUAAUAGAUAAAGAAAGAAGGACUCUACCAACGGUUAUAUGAUUAAGACCAAUGUGAAAAUAUCGAGAAAAAACAUGGUCUUGUAGGGCUAGGUCUAAACCAGAAUUUAUAGAAAGAUUAACAGAUUCCCUAGGUGUAGCUAAAAGUGCAUUAUCUUCUUGAUUAAAAGAUAGGACCUCGGCUAUAGAAAAGGGUUGGUUUUGACCUAUUGCAAUCAACUCCGGACACAGAUCAUAAUUAGGGGCAGGACGUGUUGACUCCCAUGGUCUAUGGCUGAUCUCCGAAGGUGCAAAGAAUUCAAUAAUAGGUAUGGAAUUUGAGUUAUACUUAAUGUUACUCCUCCACACCACUUCAAAAAUUCUAAGAAGGCCUACAGACAGGGGUAAGUUAGGACUAAAGCACUUGGACUCAAAAUAGGCAAGUUUAUAUCAUUAAAUCCAAACGAUUUUGAAGUUUUCAAAGGAUACAACAGUCAUCUUAGCAACGAAUGCUCUGAUACCAGCUGUGGCAGAACCCCCUAAGUGUUUGGGCCCACCGGCACCUGUCAUUGUCCCAAAGACCUCUGACGGUGAUGCCGGGGAUCCUUCCACUUUAGAAGUCCGAUGAGCAUCUCAGGACGCUCAUUCCACCGCUACCUGGGGCGUAUCAAAUAGGCUCGUCCUAACCACCAGCGAUGGUAAAUUAAUGAAAAUUUCUUCUCCUCACCCUUACAUGAUAGCAAGUGGCCACCUUAACACCAGGAUCAUUCGUUGCGAAGACAUUGCAGUAUCACAGACGACAGAAGACCAAAAUAAUAUUUCAGAGUAAAACAGUGAAAGUAUUACAUAACUUAUUUUACAAAAGGAGUUCUUCCAAAUAGCAGAGUGUUAUUACAAACUAGGUCCAGCGGAGCAACUUAAACUUUAAUACACAGACUACAAAUUUACAGACCCUACCCAUGGGUCACGCUCACUCUUCUUCGUCGUCAAACUCGACGACGGUCACACAACAGGGUCCGAAACAAGUCGGCUCCUGAGCUUCACCUGCAACAGGGGUUAUGAAACCCUGAGUACGGGAGUACUCAACAAGACUUACCCGGUAGAAAAAGGGAAGAAAUUAGGAAUGCACGCUUAGGGUAGACAAGGAGUGGCUGAGCAAGGAGCCAAAGUGUUUUGCCAAAAAGCUUACUAAUAUUGCAUCCUUACUUUCAUGUUUUACCCGCGAAUUCCUCUCCUGAAGAGGCUGAGGAGUUCGAAGACAGUCUAUCUAGUUGCCUCCCACAGACAAGUCUGUGAGUUCCUAGUCCUAGAUUAAGGUAUUAUACAUCCAACGGCCAUAGCUUCAUGUCACUCUGAGUCCGGGAAUUGGGAUCCGAACCUCAUGAGACAUUUCCCCUUUCUUGUUUUAUCACUUAGUUGCAUAAUUAACUACGAUGAGGGUCGAAGGAAUUGAGUCUCCCAAUCGGGGAGCAACGACGAUUCGAAUCGCUUAGCAAUCCAGCUGGAGUUCCUAACCACCUGACAUAUGUAGAACUAAAUCUUGCAUAUGUCAACCCAAAGCAAGCUCUCCCCAAAUUUGACCAGGUUCGCGGCACCCGAGAGCAUAGUACUCCACCAUCCUACAGCCGAUCUACAUGUUUCCCAGUCAUCUCAGAUCCGUAAGGUGGGUACACACUACUCUCGCCAUCGCUCCACGCCCAGUGCGCGAGUAGCUGUUCGCGUCGAGGGAUUACAAGGUCGGGCUUACCGAGGGCAAGUGGCUAGUACUAUAAAUUCUCAACCCAGCAGGCCAUCAACGGACCGGUCCUUAACCGACACAGUUGGAGACACUACUUUAAGACUCCAUUCUUAAAUCAAGUCCACCGACCGGUCUCAAGUUGAAACAUCAUCGAUCAUAAGUGUAUUCCACAACAACCCUUCAAACUUUCUUGUUUCAAAACCUAUCUAGUAGCAGGGCUAAGCAUCACUACGCAGUUUUUAAAAUAAAACAGGUGCCAAGGACAAGAUAACAAAUAUCAAGGUAGUAAAUGCAGCAAGUAGGUUAACCCAAUUCUCUACUAUCCAAUGCAGCAUUUUCAAUUCAUAAGUGAUAAAAGAUUUAAAACAUUCAAGGAGGGGUUAAUGCAUCCGGGGCUUGCCUUGGUUGCAGGGCAGAGAGGGACCCUCAGAGACUUCCCAAGUCUCGGAUCCUACAUCCGCGAACGGAGCACCGACCUCGGGGUUCGGUUCAAUGGUCGCUCCUUCGGUCACGGACACUAAACGCAAAAAUGAUGAGUGCUCAUGAUAUGCGUAUGUCAAACAUGCAAGAAGGACCAAGUCGAGUACAACUUGCCUUCUCGCUGCAACAUAGAUUAAACAAUAAUUAAAGUUGUUUAAUCAUCCUAGAGUCGUUACCCAAGAGGUUGCAUCUGUAAAUUAAGGUUUCUCUUAAAUCAUAAUUAUCCUAAAUUAACCAAUUAUUAAUCCUUUUAUCUUAAUUAAUUCUUAAUUAACUAUUAAUGACAACAAUUAAGCAUUAAGACCAAACAAUAAUUAAAUGCCAAAGGUCAUUAGGGUUAAUGACCUCAGGUCAUCACAUAAUCCCAAAAUCACUCAAAUCCUAAUUUUGAGAAUUUAACUAAUUAUUAUCUAACUACUUUAGCAUUAUUAUUUAAUUAUUAAUUAAGGGUAUAAUAAUAUUUUAUUCAAACAUUAUCCAAAUGCCACCAAAUUUUGUGUGGAGCCAGGGAAUAAUAUUCAGAGGCAUCCCACAAAUUUUGGUGAUUUUUGGACAUAUUAAUAAAUUAUUAAAAUUCAUAGAAGUUGUAUUUACUAAUUAAAAGAGGCAAUUUUUAUACACAUGCAAACUACCCGAAAAUAAAACUUAACAUUUUUCCUGUGUUCUUCUUAUUCUAUGGAACCUAUACAAAAAGUUUCAUAAUUUUGGACCAGCACAUGAUUUAAUACACAAAAUCAAACAUAACUAAAAAACUCCACAAAAAGAAAAAGAAAAAAAGCACUAUGCAGCGAGUGGCUGGGAAAUUGGCCCGCAGGCCGACCCGCUCCCGCUCGGCCCACGCGGGCGCUGCGCGCGCGCCCCCCCCCCCUCACGCGGUCACUGACGGGCGGGUCCCGCCCGUCAGACCCUCCUUCCCCUUCUCUCUCUGCAGGACGCUGACGGGGAGACCCCACCCGUCAGUUCCUUCUCCUCCACGCGCGGCGGCGCUGUCAUGGCUCCGCCGCCGUUAGCGGGGCUCUCGGCCCACGCGCGUGUGCGCACCGGCCUCGCCUCACCUUCGCGAACCUCUUGCUACCACUCAAUCGUGCUCUACCUCCCGCUCUCUAUCUCAACCGCACAAAUGGCGGACGGCCGCGUCGGUCGCCCGAAGACCGGCCAUGAGGGCUCACUAGAGUACAAAUUGACGCGCUAGGGAGCUACCAUGGAGGGUAAGGAACUUGGCGCUCACGUCGCAGGACGCCAAGAGGUGGCCUAAGGCUCUGGCGGCGGUAGCGGGUCUCCUGGGUGGGCGCUCUGGCUCGGCGGAGCUGUUCCGGUGAACCUGUUCGCGUCCGAAGAAGAACAACAAGCGCAUGAGCAUCUGUUUGAGCAGGACAAGGCGUUCGCGAUCUUCGUCGAGCUUUGUUUUGAGCUCCCGUAGCUGCGCGAGUUGCGCGGCUCUGUCUUCCUGCGACGGGGGGUCGACUUGACCAUCGUUCCCUGGCGUCCUGGGGUCCUCCCUUGCUGCAGGGGCUCGACCACCGGCGACGGCAUCUCGUGUUUCAUCGGUAGUUUCCACCGCCCCGUCGAUGUGGAAGCAUUCCCUAGUAGGGUCGUAGCUGUCGGACUCUGAGUCGGAGUCCGGCUUAGCAGCGUAGAAGCAUCCCCGUCCUUCCUCCAGCAGUUGUUGCCUGAGCGAGGUGAUUGUGUAUCGCCCAGGUCCUAAACGGCUCGUACCUGAGAGAAAUCCGGUAAUUCGGACGCUUGUUGUCGUGCUUCUGCGUUGCGUGGGAGGACCAUUGGUCGCUCUACGUACGUCUGGGCGUUUGGACAUAUUGUCCUAGCAAGCCAUGCCGCGGCGUUGUCCAGGCCAAACGGCAGCGCUCUUCUCGGGGCGAACAACCCGUGCGGGAGUAGCAUCGUGGAGGACGAGGGCGCGCGAGACGUGCUGUCUCCCAACGUCGUCGCGCAAUCUUCGUGGCGUCGGGCCGUCAUACCCGCGGUUUCGACAUGCGGGGCUGUCGGCUCCUGCGUCACCCCUCGCCUAGCACGAACUGGCGAUCGUGAGGAGGCAGAGGAGUGGUAACGGUUCUGUCCACGCCUCUUCUUGGGCGAGGAGGCAUGGUGGCGAGGCCGUCUAGGAGCCCUCAAUCGUGCGGGCGUAAUGCGAGCUCCUCCCGGUCCUUUGACCGAGAGCAGGAUCAUGUCAUAGUCGAAACCGAUAGACAUGAACUCGAGGCUCCCGAACCAAAUCACCGUGGAGCGCAGAAUCGGCGAAACAAGAGUGGCCAUCUGGAAUGAAAUGGGAAAUCGAUGAAAAACACGCAGGACCCCUACCUGGCGCGCCAACUGUUGGUGUUUUCCCCCCGGGGGGUCACACCAACGAGUAAAACUAGUGUGUGCUCCCCUUUCCAGAUGGUGAUGCAAGGAAAGACACAAAGAUUUAUCCUGGUUCGGGGAAGAGAAGGCCCUACGUCCAGCGGGGGAGGAGAGUUUGUAUUAUCUUGCACCUAAGUGCUUGUACAGGGGUGAAUACAGGCGUGGAUGGAUGGAGAUGGAGUAUGAGUGCUCUACUACGUAUGUCUCUUGUGUUGUGUAUCCGUUCCUGGGCCUCCCCUUUUAUAGUUCCAAGGAGAGACCUAGGUUACAUGUAUAGGCGUCAGAGUAGGGGUCGAUAGGGGUAUGGCACACUGACCUACUCGAGGCCUCCGUACCGGCGUGGCCUCGAGCCGUCUUGUCUCAGUACCAUGAUGAUGAAUACGCGUGCCCCUGAAUCCUGCUCCUAUGCGCCGUCCUAGACCAGCUUAUCCGCUGCACACUUGUACGUCGCAACUACAGCCGCGUCAAAGUGGUUGAGGUGCCGUCCUCCGUUACCCGACCCUUCUUGAGGAAGGAACAUGCCUGCUCGAGGGAUAAACGUCACUUAAAGCCUUGCUGAGCGGAGUGUUGACUUUGGAUGUCUCGAGGGAGGUCCUGACGGGACGUUUCGACCACCUCGCUGCUUCCUGCCAUGCUCUGGCUCGUUUGGUGGGCAAGGCUGCAAAAAGAACGAUUGGACGGGUGCUGGUUCCCUAUCACGCUUCCCAUGACUAACGGGUUAGGUGAGAACGCGGCAGGCGCAUUAAAUGCCCCUGGUUCCCGUACCCGCGUCAGGCAGCGGGCGGCGUCCUUGCGCUUGAGACCUUUCGAUUCGUACGAGCCUAUUUCCGUAUUCGACGGUAGCCGGCGCUCGAGCCCUAGUUGAUUCGCACGACGCUCUUUCCGCGCUCGAGGCUAUGGGCAUCGAUAACUGUGCGUGCGACCGGGGGGCGUCGAGUCGGGGGCCGUUGAUUUGCGUACGAAUGCUCUCGUCAUGGGCGUCAGUUAGGGUACCCCUUACUGAUACCCUCGACACGUGUAUACAUAUUUGAUGUAUAUAUGGGCGUACUUCACAUGGGUAGUGUGCUGCGAUAUAUGUUCGGGAAUAUAUAUCAGAGUACCUGGCUUGGAAAUAGAGGAUCAGACUUUCAUUUCUGCACAUAUACUCUUGUGGGGUUGGGCUGAAAUGAAAUUUUCUGCAGGUACGCUAACAGCGAAACGUGUAGACCGUGUAGUUACAUAUAAAGAGAGCAUGUAUGUAUGCCACCGACUAUACCGCUUGAAUUUUCUUUCCUAGGAAUGGUAAGGACGUAUGAAACGUGCAUGCAUCAUGAAUCAUUCAUGCAUCCCUUGUGCACUACUUAAAUUCUUGGAAUUCUGAAACUUGUACCUAAUAAGUAAUUUUUCCUUACUCAAUUGUGGUCUUUUUUGGACAUGUUUGGCAGCCCACGUGCAAGUGAAACUUUUUUGGACAUGUUUGGCACUCCUACUUUGUUGUGGAGAGUGCUAAGUUCAGUAGGAUAUGAGGAACCACUCCAGUAUACUUGGAGAGAGGAUGAGCAUGCAUGAUCUUUGCCUUAGGUAGAUGUCCAAAUUACAGUUCCUCCUUGUCAAAAUAACCCACGGUGGCUAGGAUGGAUAGUGGAGUUCGAUGGUCAAACUCCAUGGGAGGGUGCCCAAGUAGCAGCCCUAGAAGUGCUGUUGGAAAUAUGCCAGGACCUUGGUGAUGAGCUAAUUAAUGGCCCAGCUCGAUCUUUUCCUAGAGUGAGUGUAAGUGACACCUUUGUAUCCCAGAUAGGAACUGAGCGCCUGGAGAUGACAGAAACCAUGUUAGGGUAUAGCUCUAGCCCCGCCAUGAGUGCCAUGUUGGCGGUACUCAAGCUGUACUAUGUACGUCAAGACACCUAUGUAGAAGCCAUGCUAGCGCUGUAGCAAGCUCAAAUUGGGCAGCGCAAACUGUGCAAGUGCGUGCGCAAGCACCGCAAAGCCUUUAGUGAUGCACAAGCUGAAAUUCAAAAACUAUCAUACCGCUUUACAAGCCCGCCGCAACCAAGUUGAAAAUGAAGUUACAGAGCGCAAUGAGGCACAAGACCACGUGAUGCAAAUGACUAGGGAGCGAGAUGAUGCUAUGCGCUUGGCUGGAAAUAGAGAAGCUGCUAGAGUUAGAGCUUUGUUCCAAGCUGAGGUUAGAGAGCAAGAGUUGAUCCAAAGGAUUGCUGAGCUGUAGUUAAACGUCCAUCACCUAAACAAUGUCAUCAAUCCUAUUCCACACCCUGUCCCCAUUAAUCAUGAAGUGUACCCCAGUGAGGAAGAUCAAGAUGAUGGCAUAGUCUCGAAUGAAGAAUCUGAGGAAGAUCUGUAGUUUAGCAGUGGUUUCUGUGUUUAUGUACUAGCUCCUGUCUCUUUAUGUAAUGGACAUGUAAUCUGAAUUUCCAGUUGAGACUCUAUGUAUUUGGCCAUGAUGCCUUCUUGUAAGUCUUAAUCUGUGACAAUGAGCCUAUGUUACCAUAUGCACUUGUAUGUGAUGCUCCAUGUUUAUGCUGAGCUUGAAUAAAUUCCCAGUGAUGCCUUUAAUCCCUCAGAAUUCUUGUGGCUGUGAAUGAUUACAAGUGUAACCAAUAUCGUGGAUGAUGUUCACUUGUUGUAAAUGGAUUAUUGUGCCUUGUAUUAUGUGAAUUUAUUUCAGUAAAUUCCGUAUGGCAUCAAUUGAGAUUUUUGGCAACUAUUUCUGUCAUCCUAAACGAUCACUUGCUGUGCCUUGUGCAGAUGGCUCGCAAUACUCGCUCCGGCCACAAUGAGGUGCCACCACCACCUCCUCCCCCACCUAUGCCUACGGAGCUCCUGGCUACUCUUGUUGAGGGCCAGCAGAUGCUCACUGAAGCUAUGCAAACCAUGGCGCAGCAGAACCGGGGUGGUCGCCAUGCCUGCCAAGGUGGAGAAGCGAAUCAGUAUAGUAAUUUCAAGGAUUUUCAGGACACCAAGCCACCGAUUUUUAAGGAGGCCUCUGAACCUCUGGAAGCCGAUGAAUGGCUCAACAGUCUCGAGCAGAAGUUCCGCUUGCUCAGGGUGACUGAGGAGCUGAAGGCGGAGUAUGCAACACACCAAUUGGAAGGCGAAGCAGGUGAUUGGUGGUGUAACACCCGGCCCAGGGCUUAAUAGGAUUAAUAGGAGACUCAUACAAACAAGUUGCAACUUUAUUUCCGGGAGCCUAUCUCAAAAGAACUCUAAAGUUAAGCGUGCUUGGCCUAGAGCAAUUUAGGGAUGGGUGACCGACCGGGAAGUAGUUCCCGGGUGCGCACGAGUGAGGACAAAGUGUGCAGAAAAGACUAGUGUUGGUCUGUGGGGGCUGACUAUAUCCUAGAAAAGCUGCCAGAUGUAAGCGGGCCCGGCCUCGUGGAGGCAGGACGUUACAGAAUGGUAUCAGAGCCGACUCUCGCGGUUUCAUGGGCGCGUGUGUCGCAGUUGCGCAGGCAUGAUGUGCAUGGCUGGUGUGGAUCCGGAGUGGUCACACAGCAUGGCAUAUGCGCUGGCACUGGAUGCACGGACGUGGCCAAGAGGGGACGUUCCUGGCUUGGGGUUGAUCGACGAGGACGUCGAUCUCUUAAGGGGGUGAGGAUGUAACACCCGGCCCAGGGCUUAAUGGGAUUAAUAGGAGACUCAUACCAACAAGUUGCAACUUCUUUUCCGGGAGCCUAUCUCAAAAGAACUCUAAACUUAAGCGUGCUUGGCCUAGAGCAAUUUAGGGAUGGGUGACCGACCGGGAAGUAGUUCCCGGGUGCGCACGAGUGAGGACAAAGUGUGCAGAAAAGACUAGUGUUGGUCUGUGGGGGCUGACUAUGUCCUAGAAAAGCUGCCAUAUGUAAGCGGGCCCGGCCUCGUGGAGGCGGGACGUUACAGGUGGAGCCAUUAUAGGGCCAGCUUGCCUGUCAAUGCUGUUGUAACCUGGGACCAGUUCAAAACUGCUUUCAGGGACACUUAUAUUCCAUAGGGCUUAAUGACCAUCUAGCAUACCGAAUUCAUGAACCUAACUCAGGGCACCAAAAGUUUGACUGAGUACCUUCAUGCUUUCAAUAAUUUGUUUCACUAUGCUACUGAGUUUGUUGACACCGAUGCUAAGAAGCUUGCUAGUUUCAAGAGAGGACAUGGGCCCAAGCUGUCCAAGAAUAUGGCUGGUAACAAGAGUACCACCUUCAAUGAGUUUGUGAGUGAUGCUCUGACUCAGUAGAACUCCAAUGCUAUCUAUGCUGCAUCUAAGAACCGCAAGAGGGCCUAUGAAGCAGGUGCUUCACAGUCCAAGGCUCCGGUGACAAGUAAGCCGGCUAUCGCCCACCAAAUGUUGUAACAAGGUAUAGGCCACCACAAAAGAAGUCAAAUGUGAAGACGGGAGUUCGCAAGUCCUUCACAGUUGCCCUUCCCAGAGGUGCCACAGGUCUAGGGAGCUCCAAAACUCCCCGUGAUAAUCGUCCCUGCUUCAACUUCAGACAGGUUGGUCAUUGGGCUAAGGAUUGCCCUUAUCCUAAGAAGAUUUCUGCAGUUGGGGUUAAUACUCGUACCGGCCGGGUGCACUAUACCACCGUUGAAGAAAACCCCACAGGUGAAGUGGUUACUGCUGGUAUCUUUCUUGUCAACCAACAUCCCGCAGUUGUGUUGUUUGAUUCCAAAGCUUCGCAUUCUUUUAUGAGUCAAGCAUUCGCAUCUAAACAUGGGCAACAUGUAGUUGAUCUUGACAUUGCAUUAGUGCUCCUGGUAAUCAAAUCUCUACGAAUCAGUUAGUUAGGGAUGUGCAUAUCACCAUUGAAGGGCGUAAUUAUUCAGCAAAUCAGGUAAUCUUGCCGGGCUUGGGAAUAGAUGUUAUUCUGGGAAUGAAUUGGAUGAGUGACCAUGGGGUUUUGAUAGAUACCUCAACCAGGGUAGUCAUGUUGAGGGAACCUGAUAGUAGAGAAGCUUUCUUAGUCGAACUUCCCAAAAAUGACGACAUCCGUCAUGCUGCCAAUGCUAUCAGACCACUCACUGUGGCAGAGGUUCCUGUAGUUUGUGCGUUCCCAUAUGUCUUUCUAGAGGAUCUGCUCGGGUUGCCUUCAGACAGAGAUGUAGAGUUUAAAAUUGAUCUAAUUUCCAGUACCGCACCUAUUUCUAGAAGGCCAUAUCGAAUGCCACCCAAUGAACUAGUAGAGUUGAAGAAGCAAUUGCAAGAACUCCUAGAGAAAGGUCUUAUUCGGCCUAGUUCUUCUCCAUGGGGUUGCCUAGCUCUGUUUGUCAAGAAGAAGGACAAGUCUCUCCGUAUGUGUGUGGACUAUCGCCCGCUAAACACCGUGACAACAUGUUGGACCUAUCCUAGAGGAAGGUUUCAAUUUAUUGCACCCAGUGUUCCUGCACAAUAUUGUAGUCUGUUGUUCCUUAGAAAGUCAAAUUAUAGAACUCCAAAAGACUAAACCUGGUAUCUUCCAUAUCAAUAGAAAAAUGAAAGAGCAAGACACCAAGCAUUUCUGGGUGGAUGAGAAGGGUGUACUAUGGUUUGAUGAUCGACUUGUAGUACCCAAAGACCGUGACCUACGCUAUAAAAUCUUAGAUGAAGCUCACUCCUCUAAACUGUCUAUCCAUCCUGGUAGUAGCAAAAUUGUUGGUGCAAAAGUAGAUCUGCAAACACAAAGGGCUAAUACCUGAUUCAACGUUAAGGCGUGCCAGCCGAUUUUACCUUUCAAUCGACAAAGGUGAUAACUCGAAUACUUUGGUCCCGACAACAGCGAUGCACCCAGAUGUCACGGCCAAGAGGUAUUCACACGAAACUCAAGAACUCAUCAAGAUUGACUCGAUGAAUUCCUAAGAACUCGUAAGUAAAGGAAAAUAUGCGAGUUGACGAACUCGUCGAAAAAGUAGAUGCUGCAAUAGAUUUAAAAACUUGUGUUUGAUUGAUUGUGUAUGUCCAUUACAUUGCCACAAGGUCUAUAUUUAUACCCUGUUCAGAAAAGUUACAAUCAGACACGACUAGGAGUCGAAUUCCAAAUUGAACGGAAUCCACAUGCAAAACAAACUCUAACAACUAUGGAAAACAUUAAUUUAUCCACCACAACCGAUCAGCAUAUCAUCACUAUCAUCGUUACCAAUCCUACACUUUCCUUUGCUUAUCAUCGGCAAAUCACCUUUUGUUGGCAUCGGCAAUCACCUGCAUCAAUCAUCAACAUAGAUCGACCACCACCCUUAGAUUUGGCUACAUCCUGCUGGUUUCUCCAUCGGCAUCAAUCCCAUCGGCAACUCCUUUGACAACCGUCACCACUCUUUUAUCUGCCGAUCUAUAUUUCAUUAACUCCCAGAUACGCGUCCAAAGAUACGUGUCCAAAAACGGCGUCAACACAUGCCCCCAAUUUCGGAGUAUAAAAUCAUUGAUGCUCCGAAAUUAUCUCCACUAAAUAUGCUCUUUUCGCAAAUAUUUCCCCCUGAUGGUCAUUAGUUGCCAAAUCCAAACAACUUCAGUCCGGUUCUCUAGCAUAUACCUGGAAUCUCUCAACUUCUCAAACCGAAUCUCCUAACUAUAUGUUCAACGGCAAUAUUUCCGUUAGAGAGAAACUACCGAUGAGCCGAUUAUGAGAUCUCGCACAGUAAAAUAUCUUCAAAAUCAUGACCGCUUAGUGUCAAAUCACCUGCACAAUCCCUUGAUUACCGUGCGAACAGUUACCAUAUCCACCAGAACACCCUCGGAUUUCACGGAUACGGUAAAGAGAUAAGUCAAAAAUGCCCCUGCUCACUUUACCCUAUAAAUAUUGCCUUAUUCGGCACUCUUCCUCCACCUUGUCAUUCUCCAUUCACCAAACCCAUCUUCCUGGCGGCGGCACUGUUUGAGGAGCCCAAGAACUCCAACGAGCACUAGCAGUUCUGGAAUCCAUCGAUCCUCUCCUUCCCCGGCAAGAAAAUGGCCAUCAACUUCACUGUCCCUGAGGUCAACUCUCUUCACCUCCCCUUUUUUCUUGUCGUACUUCUAUUUUCUGCAAAUCUAUUAUUGAGUACGUUUUUUCUCUUCUUUGUUUUUUUCUGUUCUUUCAACCUGCAAACCUUUAAGGAGUUGACUGAUAAAAUUGUGAUUCCCACCGAUCAACCCCAUUUCAAUGCCUUGGUCCAUUGGGAAAUCCAGAUCCUACCGAUUUGAUAAAUGCAGAAACAAAUAGGAUCCCCUUUAGAGCCGAGAACUUUUCAUUAGAUCUAUGGAAAGACACCUUUCGAUCCUAGCCCAGUUCUACCAAGGGGUGGAGAGAUUGGUUCCUAAGAAUCGGCAACUCAAAAGAAGUCCAAUGGGAUGAGCGUAAACUAGAUCAGAGCAUUAUGCUAUCUAUUGCCGAUAUGGAGAGAAACGAAUCACUAUUGAUAGCAGCUUCGUAUUUCUGGUCAGACACCCUCAAUGCUUUCGUGUUUGGCCAUGGCCCUGCCUCUCCUACCCUUGCCGAUGUACUUAUGCUUACUGGUCUGGAAAUAGCAACUGCCGAUGAUAGCCACCUGUUCGACAGUAAGCCCGAACGUAAAGUGGAAACUCGCAACAUCGGUGGCUGGUCAGGGUACAUUCAGAAGUAUCAGAAAAUAGGACCAGUUGGGCCAAGGGAACACGCCAUCUUUCUGAACAUGUGGCUAGAUAAAUUUGUAUUUUGCGGCCGAUCGGUAGGACCAACUUCUGUUUAUCUAUCGAUAGCAGAGAAACUAGCCAACGGUGGUCGCUUCCCCCUUGGCCGAUACUUGUUAGGCUCUGUUUAUCAUCUCCUUCAUCAAGUAGUCGAGAAGCUUCUGUUAGGGCAACUGAAAGCCCUAGUUUGGUUUUGGAUAAUUGAUGAAACCCUAGUACUAACCUCUAUACUAAGUAUGUGUAGACUUAAUGAGGUUGGUACAUGCCAAGUGAUGAAGCAAGUGAUGAUCAUGGUGAUGAAGGUGAUGAUCACAAGAUGAUCAAGUGCUCAACUCGGAAAAGAAGAAAGAGAAAAACAAAACCCUAUGGAGAUCUAGGCAAAGGUAUUGCUUAGGGUUUUAGUUUUGGUGAUCAAGACACCAUAGAGGGUGUGAUCACAUUUAGGAUAGAUAGCCGUACUAUAAAGAGGGGAAUUCUUUGGCUAAACGGUUAUCAAGUGCCACUAGGUGUCAUUGUUCAUGUGCAUGCAUUUAGAACCUAGUGAGCUAACUUAACUUCUUCGAAGAAAAUGAUUGUGAAAAUGCUAACACACGUGCACUUGUUGGUACACACGUUGUGGUGUUGGCACACUUUGAGAAGGAGGUGGAGUUUGAAGAGUAGAGAGAGGAUGGGUUAGCAUUUUCAAGAAAAUGAAGUGCAUAUUUUCUAUUGCACCGGUGGGAAAUUUGGAGAAGUCGCGGGAGUGUUUCUCGCUGAGAAAACACUCACCGGACGCUAGCUUCUGGAGCACCGGACGCUGAGUCUGAGCGUCCGGUGCAAACAGUGCCUGGCCCAGCUAGGGUAAGGCACCGGACGAUAAGCACCGGACGCUGGCUUGAGCGUCCGGUGGUUAGCGUCCGGUGUGCGGGCGUUUUGCGACCCUCUCUGCGCAUGGGUCCGGUGAGCACCGGACGCUAAGGGUGCGUCCGGUGACCCUGCAAGUUUGCGGAGCUCUCUGCGCAUGAGUCCGGUGUGCAUCGGACGCGUCCGGUGCAAACUUGCUCAAGCGUCCGGUGCUCUGCAGGUUACCGUUAGACUCUGACACGCGGCUGACGUUGGAGCACCGGACGCUGGUGUUGAGUGUCCGGUGACCCUUUAAGAGCGUCCGGUGACACCGUAUUUCACCCAGUGAAAGAGCCAACGGCUCCAUUUGUUUGAGGGGCUAUAAAUACGUGUUUGGCCGGCUUGGGGCUUACACUCUUGGCAUUCUAGCAUACUUGACAUCCUUGUGAGCCUAAGCAAACACCUCCCACUCAUCUCCUUCAUAGAUUAAACAUCUUUGUGAGAUUGGGAGUGAUUCCAAGUGCAUUUGCUUGAGUGAUUGCAUCUAGUGGCACUUGGGGAUCGAUUUGGCUGCGGUUUUCUUGUUACUCUUGGUGGUUGCCACCACCUAGACGGCUUGGAGCAGCGGAGGAGGAUUGGCACGAGUUGGUGAUUGUUCGUGGCCAUCUCCCGGUGAUUGUGAGGGGUCUUGUACCUUCCCCGGCGGAGAGCCAAAAGGUAACUCUAGUGGAUUGCUCGUGUCAUUGAGUUACCUCACUUGUGGGUCGGUUCUUGUGGUGUCCUAGUGAGGACGAGGUUCGUGCUACACCUCUUAGCCACCGAACCACCAAGUGUUGGUCGACACAACGGGGCCGUAGCGUGCCGGCAAGCACGUGAACCUCGGGAGAAAAAUUGGUGUCUCAAUUGUGUUUGAUUGGCAUUCUCCCGGUGCUUGAUUGUUUAUAUUGGUGAUUGGUUCACCCUCUACGCGGCGGUAUAAAGUUCAAACCAUCUCUUUUACAUUCCCGCAAACUAGAGUAGCUUACUUACUUGUAUAGAAACUUUAGGUAGCUUUCUAGUGUAAAGUAGUGACAUAGCUCUUGUGUGCCUAGUGAUUAUAUCAACUAGAAUUGUUGGAUAGGUGGCUUGCAAACACCCCAUUAGAGCUAGAGCAAAAAGCUUCGCUUUGUUAUUUACUAACCUCUUGCUCUAGUGAGUUUGUAGAUUUUUAAAUAGGCUAUUCACCCCCCCUCUAGCCAUAUUAGGACCUUUCAGCAACCCAUCGGCAACUUAGGAGGACCUUGGUGGUUCAUCAACAUGUUGCUCAGUGUUCACAUGCACAAACGCCUUGGAUUUGACCUCUUCGCACAACGCUUUCCCAGAGAUAUCGCCGAAGACCAUGAAUUGGCUGAUGAAGAAUCGGCAACUCACCCACCCUUAAACUAUGGUGAGGCUGCUAUAGCGCUACUUGGUACUGGUGGCAAUGAAGACCAGGUCAGCCGAUUCUUCCAAACUCUAUAUGAGGGUAUUUCCAAAGAUCAGCGGGCAUGGAUGCCUUAUCAAGAUCCAAAAACCAGAUUCCAGCUCACUUUCCACCCUUUCAAUGACGCUCUCAACAAGGACAAUGACCUGAUGAUGGCAUUCAUCACUCCAAGGGCCAUACCGGUUAUUAUUUUUGGUAGUGGGAAGACCUCCAACCCCACUUAUGAAUUUUAUAACCCAUCAGCACUGGCUCGUCAACUGGCUUUUGGACAGCUGCCGACUGGACUCUAUUAUGCCGAUGUAGUGAAGCCAAUGAAGACUAUAACCAGCAGACUUGAGUGGAUAAGAAUAGCUCAGCUUCAGCCAAAUGCCGAUACAUCAGACAUUGAUUUAUCGGCAUGGAUCCCAGUCCUCUUCAUCACUCAGGCAUACAAGCAGUGGUGGGAAGAGUGGAAAGAACAUCUGUUCUACACAUCGGCUCUGACAUACCAUGGCAUGAUCGACCCCAAGUAUAAGGUCCCCGAUAACCCUGUAAGUCAUCAACCGAUAUCUCAGUUCUUUUGUUACUUCUAACUUUAUCGGUAAUUUUACUCUCUCUUUUCUAAACAGGUCGAUAACCUGCCACCUGUCACAGAACCGACCAAAUUAUAAGAGUUCAACUGUAGAAACGAUCGACUAGCAAUCAAGUUUCCAAACUUGAGCUCAUAUAAUCCCGGUAGUCAACUGAAAUCACGAAGGACUUCAAACCAACUUGCAACAAACCAAGAUCGUAAUAGUUCAACAUAACACAACGAAUGUUACAUAGUCAUUCAUUGUCGUCAAAGCGUCACCACAUCGGUGUUACUCAGUUAUUACAACACAUGUUUGUAGAAGCAGAAUCAAAAUAGUUUACAACUCACAUUCCAAAGUUCAUUUCACAAGUUCCUGUUACUGCCAGAGUCUUAGGCCAUCCAUCCAAAAGCAGCAAAUAUGAAAUUGUUAGAGAACCGUGCCCAACGGUCUAGUCCUCAUCCCCAGCGGGAUGGAGACAGGUCUUGCAGAAGCAAUCAUAAAAGAUAUCAUCUGCAACAGGUGGGAAUAAACCCUGAGUACGAGGAUGUACUUAGCUAGACUUACCCGUCUAGUAAAACAUAAAAGACACCAAGGAUCAUGCAAGUCUAAGUAUAAAGUGUAGCGGGCUUGACUCAACAUUUGCCAAAAGCUUAAGUAAGGACUACACCAUUUGUAAAGGCAUCAUUUUAAGUAUCAUUAGCUUACCACUAGAUUAGGACCUGUGCUAAAGCACUUCACUUUGAUUAAUACAAACAAUAAUAACCAUAUCAAGUUCAUCAUAUGCUCUUUCUUGCUAUCAUCAUUAUCACGAACCAUUGUCCUUUAGUGAAAGCUACGUUUGCAACUGCUCUAUCAAGUUCUCACUAUCCGGGAGAGACGGCGAUUCGAAUCGAUUCCUAUCCAGCUGGAGGGUUAUUCCUAGCACUCACCCAAGCAUCCCCCGUCAGAGAGCCAGCGGGUCACCUUUGGUACGACUCAGGAAUCGCGGCACCGAUCAGCGCCGCACUCCCAGGGCUACCACUCUGCCAGGGAGGUCAGGUCUUUUAACUCACCUGCCUUUGGUCUUACGCCUAUGGUCCCCCACACACCACACUUCCUCCGGUAGUGCGCACUUUAUACUUGCCAGUCUUCCGGCCUGAGUAAUACUACUAGGCUUCGCAGUCGGAACGAGUUAUCCGGCCAACCAAGUGUCAGGCAUGCGUUCAACAUGACAAGAGGACGUACAACGAUUGGUCCUUAGCUGCCACAGUAGGAGUUACUACAACCUUGCAAAACACUGCCCGGCUUAAGUCAUUUUAAUCAAGUUCUUUCCAUGAUAGCACAUAUAGACAAUCGUGAUCCGACACAACCCUAUCUCGCGCAGGUGACAGGAUAUCCCCCGACUUCUACCGAUUAACCAUGACUAAGCCACUACUCGAUCCUAACUCUAUAACCAGGUAGUGGUAAGAUAUCUGGACAAGGAAUGAGUAUAAUGCAGCAAGGGUUUCAUCACAACUCCUAUACAUAAUGCAUCAAUAGAUAUAACAUGAUCAAGUAAGCUUUCGAAAUUAAAAUGGGAGACUUAAUAUGCUCCGGGGCUUGCCUUUCACGAACGAUGCAGGCUCGUGAUUCGGGCACUCAAUCUCCUCUUCGGGCUCCUCGUGUCCGGCUUGCUGGACCUCCACGUCCGGGUUGAUCUCUUGGCCCUCGGGGUUCACCUGGAGCUCGAACGUAGCGGUCGUUUCCGGUGCACCUAUUGCAUGCACGAAGAAUAAGAAUGUGUGCAUACUAAAGGAUGAAUGCUUGACAACAUAAUUAGGACUUCACUGGACACUCAUUUACGGAGAAAUUCUCAUUACAAGAUCACACAAGAUGACAAAUUAGUUUAGUAAGGCUUACCAAGUCAAAUAUAAACAGCAAGCAUCACUUAACAGAAUAGCUCAGUAAACAGAUCAUAACAUUUGCUAUACAGAUCCCACAAACAUGAAUGAGGACUGUCUACAUUUCAUCUUUAAACAUCACAGCAAGAUUCAUAAGUUAAAUAAGUCAAUUAAACAAAGUUUCAGGUUCUGUCCCAGAAAAAUAGAGAACACCUAUUUCUGGAACCCAACUUGGAAAGGCCAUAACUUCCAAACUACUGGACCAAAAGAUCCCAAAAUUAAACCACAGCUAGUUCAUAAAGUUUACAACAACUUUGAUUUAUACAAGUUUUCCAGAAAACCAAGUUAUCAUCAGGCAAAGGUUAGAUUACUCCCUUGCUGCCCAGAACAGCUUUUAACCCUUUAAUUAAUUAUUUGAUGACAUAACCAAAACAUAUUUAGUGGCAACCAAAUGGCUUAUAAACAUUAGCAUACCAUAAGAUUACCAGAACAACAUAUGUUAACCCCAAAUUAUUUAAUAACAAGGCAUUUAUUAAUUUAGUUCUAUAAAUGGACAUAAUUACAAGAUACUAGCAAAAGUGCUCAGAAAAAUCUACAAAAUUUAUACAAACACCAGCAUAGCAUCUUGACAUCACAGUAAAAUUUUCAGAGCAAUUGCACAUGCCAAUUUAAGAUAAGCAUUUAACCAUGUGACAAGUUUCAUAAAUUAAGAAACAUAGCUUAAACAGUGUCAAACUACAGAUUUCAGAUUAUUUACAUGUGACUAUUACCAUAAACAAGUUUGACACCAGAGUAGAGCACCAGCAUAAGCACCAAUUAUUUAUUAUGAUUUAAGUAAGAAAACAAGCCAUAUCACAAACAUAAAUUACACAUCACAGAUAUAGUACUCCAAAAAUCAUGAAAUAUUUAUCAUAGCAUUCUCAUACCGCUCAGAGCCUAGCAUAAAAUUUUCAUAACAAAAGGAGCAGUAUAUCAAGAGAUAUAAAUUUACACAUGAAUAAAAAGAUUAAAUCCUAAUAAUUAUUUAUCCCAGAUAACAUGGUACAUUUUAUAUUUUUAUUAAAAACUAGCCAUCUCAAGGAACAUCACAAAAUUUAUCUCACAAUUUUUGGAUCUUAGAAACUGGAGAUAUGAUUUUUGCAAGAAUGCCAAAAACCUGAAUUUGAAUAAAAGAAAAGGAGGGAAACGAUGUGUCACUGACAGCGGGUCCCGCGUGUCAGGGUCGUCUUCCUCACGACCGAGAUGACAUUCACCGGCGAUUUCUCCGCGACGGCGAGGUCUCCGGCCAAACCAAGGGCAUCAACGUGAGCCCCAGACCUUUGCGAACCGAGUGACCCCCUUUUCCCCACGGCGGAGCCACCGGAAAUGGCUUGCCGACGACCAUGGCGGCUCAGCGGAGGUGCUUGGCAUUACGCCGGAGCUCUCGGGCCGGUAGAGCGCGACCUAGGGUUUCCUACAGCACCAGCGGGCUAUGGUGAAGCUUUCUAGGUGGGUGACUAGGCUUGAAACGGUAUGGAAUGAGCUGGCCACGAGAGAGCCGAACUCCGGCGGAAACACGGCGGCGCUGCGCGUCGCGUCCGGCGACGGUGAGUGCGGUAGAGCGUCCAUCAAGUGGUGCAAACGUUCGCUAAGGACCUAAGCCACCUCUGGGACCUAACCAGAGAAGACGAGAGGCUCCGAGGAGCUCAGCAUUGAGUUCGCCGGAGAAGAAGGUCACGGCGACCCGAUUUGGGGGAAGUCAGAAAUGUCGACUCACCGGAGGGUUUCACGGCGAGUUUGUGGGUCGAGGAUGGAGAGCGGGUCACGGCAGAGCUGUGCGCAAGUUUUGGUGGGCAGCAACGCAGCGAAGAGCGAGUUCGAGCUCACCGGAGUGAGCUCGCGACGGUGAGCUCGCUGCGGCCGCUUUUCUGGCGAGAGUGCGAGAGGGAGGAGAGAAUGGACGCGUCCACUGCGUUCGGGGCGUCGCCGUGGAGGUAAGGCACAUGCUGGGAGCUGACGAGCAGGGCCAGGAACAACGUACGGGCGCCAAAUGUCACUGAAGCUUUGUCGCCGGUCGGCCACGUCGACGAGCUCGGCUCUGAUUCAGACAUGGCGAUGAUCGUCUGAUAGAGCGACUUUGACGGCGAUUAUCUCCCAAACCGAAGCGAAUUAGGAGAUGGUGUAGUUGACAAAGUUGGAGUACUUGCUGAGUUCUACAACAUUGUCAACUAGAGUAGGAGCCAGAUCGGCUUGGAUUGAGAGAUAUAAAGCUCCCAAAAUCGAUUGAGCAAACUGGUGGCGCCAGGACUUGAAAGCACUUUUUGAGCAAGAUGUGUUCAUUUUCAUGAGAUGGCCAUAACAUAACUUUUUUCCUUAUAAAAUUGGCUACAACUUUGCUGUAUAAAGUUUUGACAUGCAAACAUUUUAUGAAACACUUUUUAAAAGCCUAUCAAAUGAGGUUUCUAGGGCUUAUACAUGGAAGUAUGACUUAAGCACCUAAUUUGGAGAAGUGAUCAACAUGAACAUUGUUCCUAAGGUUGAGUUAAUCAUAAAUAAACUAAUUACCAAGGGUUAGCACACAAGCAUGAGCAUGGCACAAACAAACACAAGCAUAGGAAGCAUAAUUAAACAAGUCAAAGCACACUUUAGCAUAAAAUGACAUGGCUCAAGGUAGAUGAUGAUCAUGAUAUGCUUGAGUAGAUGAUGAUGCUUAUGUUAUGCAUGUGAAUGAUGCAGCCAUAACACUGGGGUGUUACACGACCGACAGUCAGCAGAAGUGGAAGACCGAUUGAACUCCUCCCGUCAGGUCCAAUCUCUCUGAUCGGUAACAACGCACCAAGUCUGGCAGCACUAAUGCAUCGGAAUGUGUGUUUUAAGAAGAUAACCACCAAGCGGUCAAAGACAUCCCCAAUGGUUGCCGCUGCUACCUUGGCAUAGGCUUUCAAGGUAGACUUUUGAUUUCCUUUGCUUGUACCGAUUCUAUUCCAUACUCACACAAUCUUUUCAGGAUACAUCGGCUGCUAUGGGAACUUCAUCGGAAACUUUUAUUUUUUAAACAAGAUUUCAUCAACAUUCUUUCAUAUCCCUUCUGAUGAUAUCUUGGUUGUUGUAACAGCAAACCGGCAAAUCGGCAAAGACUAGAAGCACCCAGACAAGUGCUGAUGCCCCCAGCCCAGCCAAGUCAAAAGGAAAGGUCCUAAAAGCAACAAGUCACAACCAAAGCGCCAGAGGACAGCACCAUCUUCUCCUCCUCGUCCAGUGUCGCCGAUUCAUGUGGAAUCAUCCCCAUCUUCACCAGAAAUCUAGACACAACAAGCACCAUCCCCUCCUCAACCAGCACCUCAGCCACAAGAAGCACCAGCCGAUGUACCGGAGCAGACUGCCGAUCCAGCGAAUAUGAUCAUAUCAUCGGUUAUUCCUUCAGGACAAACAAGCACCGCACCCCCUCAAGGUAAAGUACUGAUCAUAAAAUUAUCACCAAUGGAUAUAUUAUUUUCCUUUUAAAUUAUAAUUGCCCAUGUUCUUUCUCAAUCGACAUUGUUCCAUCGGCAACUCCAGCCGAUCAACCUACAGUACCGGCCGCAUCCCCUCGCCAAAGGCACGAAAUUGCUCUGAAGCAAGUAAGUCUCUGAUUUUCACUCUUUAUUUUCAACAUUUGAUUAUCAGAUAACUUAUCUCAACCCCUUUUUCAGGAACAAGACUCCCCAGACAGCUUAUUCUCCUUUGCUAUCGACAUCUCCGAUGACGAGAGCGAAGAAGCAAGCUCUUCUCAAGCAGUGAGGAUCUCAUCGGCAGAAAUCAAAGCUAAACUGGAAGACCUGCUGGUUCUGCUGCAUCAAGAUACCGCUCAAUUGGUCGAUGACUCUGACCCAGCCAAAGCCUUGUUUAAGACCCUUUGAGGCCAGAUCCCAGCCGAUGCAGAAGAAGUCUUGUUUCAAGCUGCACACUUGGAAAGCCGCCAGCUCCAGUACCAGAAGGCUACCCAGCUUCUCGCUGAUAGAACUGCUCAUGCCCAACUCACAGAGGAAGUAACGCAAGUGAAGCGUCUUGCCGAUGAGAAACAUAAAAGCAUCAGCAUUCUGCAGUCCUCAGGGGAAACACUGAAGCAGAAGAUCUCCGACCUAUCGGCAAGAAGGGAAGCCCUGCUGGCUGAGCUCAAACAAGUGGAAGAGGCCCUGUCUCAAGCUCAGCAAGAAGAAUGCCAGCUGCCUGAGAUGAUCAAGACUCUUCAGCAAGAACGAAACAUCCAGGCUCGGAAGGCACUGCAAAUGAAAAAGAAGCUGUAGCCAGUAGAGGGUUCUGCCGAUGAGGACAUCCGGGAGAUAGAAGAGGCCGACCAAAUUCGCCUGCGCGCCGUAUCGACCAUUUAAGACCUGCUGAAUCUGUGAACACUUCAUCGGCAACUUGUUUCGCUCUGCCCUUAGAAUACUUUCGAUCAUUCUGGUCAAGCCGAUAGGACUAUUAUUGGCCCUUUUAAAAACAUUAUGCAAGCCCCACAGAUACAUUUCAUCCAGCCAAAUUCUUUUAUGCAUCAACCCAAAUUAUUGGGUAAUACUUCUUUAGAUAUUUUCCACUCAAUGCUCUAGGAAAUUCAACUCCUUUGAGAGUUUCCAAAAUAUAAGCAUUACCACGAGCAAACCGAUUUAUCCGAUAAGGACCUUCCCAAUUAGGAGACCAUUUUCCAAACUUUGAACUUUUAGUCCCAAUCGGUAAAAUUAAUUUCCAUACCAAAUUUCCAUCGGUAAACUCUUUAGCUUUUACCUUUUUAUCAUACCAUCUAGCAACUCUAUUUUUAUUUUCCUCUACACUUAUUAAAGCUCUCAACCAAUGCUCUGCUAAAUCAUCCAACUCAUCUUUCAUCAAAGUAGCAUAGUCAUCGGCAGCCAAUUGAUCUUGAAAAGAGACCUGCCUAGAUCCAGUCUUAAUUUCCCAUGGUAGCACCGCAUCAUGUCCAUAUACUAAUUGAUAAGGUGAAACUUUGGUCGAUUCAUGACAUGCCAUCCGAUAUGACGACAAAGCUUCAUUCAACAAUGUAUGCCACCUUCUAGGAUUUUCUUUAAUCUUCCACUUGAUGAGCAUAAUAAUCCCUUUGUUAGAUGCUUUGGCUUGUCCAUUGGCUUGAGCAUAGUAAGUGUUGGUGCAAAAACCUGAUCUGCAAACACAAAGGGCUAAUACCCGAUUCAAACGUUAAGGCGUGCCAGCCGAUUUGACCUUAUAAUCCACAAAGGUGGUAACUCGAACACUUUGGUCCCGACAACAGCGAUGCGCCGGAUGUCACAGCCAAGAGGUAUUCACGCGGAACUUGAGAACACGCCGAGUUUGACUCGACGAAUUCCUAAGAACUCGUAGUAAAAGAGAAAAUAUGACGAAGUCGUCGAAAAGUAGAUGCUGGAAUAUGAGUAAAAACUUAUGUUUGAUUGAUUGAUAGAUGUCUCAUUACAUUGCACUAGGGUCUACAUUUAUACCCUGUCCAAAGAGCUACAACCAGACACGACUAGGACUCAAAUUCCAAAUUAAUCGGAAACCGUAUACAAAACGAACUCUAAUAACUAAGGAAAACAUUAAACUACCCCCGUAACCGAUCGGGACACCAUGAUGAAUCAAAUGGCAACUUCCGCGCUUCUCUUCAGAGUCAUCGGCAGAUUACCCAUCCACAGUCAUCGGCAAACACUGGCAUUGGUCAUCGGCAUGAAUACGCCACCCCUUCUGGACUUGGCCAUAUCCGAUUGUUUCCCAUCGGCAGCCACCUUUAUCGGCAACUUCCCCAUAGACUGGUCACCACUGCUCCAUCUGCCGAUCUACAUCUCAUUAGGUCUAAAUGCGUAUCAAAAGAUACGUGCGCAAAAAUGGUGUCAACACAUGCCCCCCAAUUUCGGAGUAUAAAAUCAUUAAUGCUCCGAAAUUCUCUGCAGUAAUGACACGUUUCGCAAUUAUUUCUCCUAAUUUGGUAAUCUGUCGCCAAAUCUAAUGUAACACCCCAGUGUUAUGGUUGCAUAAAUCACAUGCAUAACAUGAGCAUCAUUAGUUACUCAAGCAUAUCAUGAUCUUCAUCUACCUCGAGUCAUGUCAUUCUAUGCAAAAAUGUGAUUUAAGUUGUCUAAAUAGGCUUCCUAGGCUUGUGUUGGUGCAUACCAUGCUUGUGUUUGUGCUCUAUGCCUUGGUAAUUAGUUUAUCUAUGCUUAACUCAAUAUUAGGAUCAAUGUUCAUGUUGAUCACUUCUCCAAAAUAAUCACUUAAGUCAUACUUACUUUAAUAGGCCCUAGAAACCUCUUUUGUUUAGGCUUUUAAAAAGUGUUUCAUAAAAUCUUUGCAUGUCAAAACUUUCUACAAAACAGUUGUAGCAAAUUUUAUAAGGAACAAAAGUUGUUUUAUGGCCAUCUCAUGAAAAUGAACACAACUAGCUCAAAAGUGACCCACAAGGCAGAUUUGGGGCUGUUUCCAACACUUAGAAAUAUUUUCUAAGUCCGGGAACACAAACAGUUUGCUCGAUCGAUUUUGAAAACUUCAUACCUCUCAAUCCAGGCCGAUUUAGCUUUUGCUCCAGUUGACAAUGUUGUAGAACUCAGCGAGUACUCCAACUUUGUCAACUACAUCAUCUCCUAACUCGCUCUGAUUUGGGAGUUAAUCGUUGUCAAAGUAGCUCUGUCAGUCGGCCAUCGUUUUAACUGAAUCGAGGCCGAGCUCGUCGACGUGGCCGACCGGCGGCAGAGCUCCAUCGACAUUUGGCGUCCGUACGUCGCUCCUGGCCCCGCUUGUCAGCUCCCAGCGCCCGCAUGACCUCCACGGCGACACCCCGGGCGAAGUGGACGCGUCCAUUUCCUUCUGCUUCGCCCUCUCUCGCCAGAAAUGCGGCCGCAGCGAGCUCACUGUCGCGAGCUCACUCCGGCGAGCUCGUACGCGCUCCUAGCUGCGCUGCUGACCACCAAACUUCGCCCACAGCUCCGUCGUGAACCACUCUCCACCCUCCACCCGCUAACUCGCCGUGAAACCCGCCGGUGAGCCGCCAUUUUCUUUUUCCCCCAAAUCGGGUCGCCGUGACCUUCUUCUCCGGCGAACUCAAUGCCGAGCUCCUCGGAGCCUCUCGUCUUCUCUGGUUAGGUCGUAGAGGUAGCUUAGGUCCUUAACGAGCAUUUGCACCACUUGGUGGAUGCUCUACCGCGCUCACCGUCGCCGGACACAACGCGCAGCGCCGCCGUGUUUCCGCCGGAGUUGGGGUCUCUCGUGGCCAGCGCGUUCCACGCCGUUUCAAGCCAAGUCGCCGACCUAGGAAGCUUCGCCGUUGUCCACUGGUGCUGUAGGAAACCAUAGGUCACGCUCUACCGGCCUGAGAGCUCCGGCGUAACGCCGAGCACCUCCGCCGAGCCGCCAUGAUCGACGGCGAGCCCCUUCCGGUGGCUCCGCCGUGGGGAAAAGGGGGUCAAUCGAGUCGCAAGGGUCUGGGGAUCACGUUGGUGCCCUUGGUUUGGCCGAAGACCUCGCCGUAGCAGAGAAAUCGCCAGCGAGAGUCGCCUCGGCUGUGAGGAAGAAGAACCUGUCGCGUGGGCUCCGCUGUCAGUGACACUCGUUUCCCUCCUUUUCUUUUAUUCAAAUCCAGAUUUUUGGCUUUCUUGCAAAAAUCAUAUCUUCUAUUUCUGAGAUCCAAAAAUUGUGAAACCAAUUUUGUGAGAUUCUCUGAGAUGGCUAUUGUUUUGAAAAAAUAUAAAAUGAACCAUGUUUUCUCGGAAAAAUAAUUAUUAGGAUUUAAUCUUGUUAUUCAUGAGUAAAUCCAUAUCUUUUGUUAUACUGCUCCUUUUGCUAUGAAAUUUUUAUGGUAGUCUCUGUGUGGUACUAGAAUGCGAUGAUAAAUAUUUCAUGAUUUUUGGAGUAACAUAUCUGUGAUAUGUAAUUUAUGUUAGUUCUAUGGCUUGUUUUAUUUUAAAUCACAAUAAUUAAUUGGUGAUUAUGCUGAUGCUCUACUUUGGUGGCAAACUUGUUUGUGGUAUUGGUAACAUGUAAAUAAUCUGAAAUCUGUUGUUUGACACUUUAUAAGCCAUGUUCCUUAAUUUAUGAAAUAUGUACCUUGUCACUUGUUAAAUGCUUAUAUAAAAAUUGGCAUGUGCAAUUGCUCUGAAAAUUUUAUGGUGAUGUUAUGAUGCUAUGCUUGUACUUCUGUAAUUUUUGUAGAUUUUUGUGAGCACUUUUAUCAGUAUCUUGUAAUUAUGCCCCUUUAUAGAAUUAAAUUAAUAAAUGCCUUGUUAAUAAAUGUUUAGAAGUUAUCAUAUGAUGUUCUGGUUGUCUAAUGAUGUGUUUGUGUUGAUAAGCCAUGUGGUUGACAUUGUUUAUGCUUUGGCUAUGUCAUCAAAUAAUUAAUUAAAGGGUUAAGAGCUGCUCUGGGCAGCAAGGAAGCAAUUCAAUCUUUGCUUAUUAAAAACUUGGAUUUCUGGAAGGCUUGUCUAAAUCAAAGUUGUUGUAAACUUUAUGAAUUAGCUGAGGUUUAAAUUUGGGAUCAUUUGGUCCAGUAGUUUGAAAGUUAUGGUUGUUCCAAGUUGGAUUCCAGAAAUAGGUGCUUUCUGUUUUUCUCCGACAGAACCUGGAACUUUGUUUAAAUGACUUGUUUAACCUAUGAAUCUUGCUAUGAUGUUUAAAGAUGAUUUGUAGGCAAUUUCAUAAGCUUUCCAGAAUGUCCUCACUUAUGUUUGUUGGAUCGUUUUAGCAAUAGUUAUGACCUGUUUACUCAGCUGUUCUUUAGGUAAUGCUUGCUGUUUAUAGGUUAUCUUGGUAGGUUUUGGCUAAGUUAACUUACCAUCUUGUAUGAACUUGUCAUAACCGUUACUCCGUAAAUGAGUGUCCAGUGAGUUUAAUUAUGUGUCAAGCAUUCAUCCUUUAGUAUGCACACUUUCUUAUUCAUCGAGCAUGCAAUAGGUGCACCGGACGCGACCGCCUCCUACGAGCUUCAAGUGAACCCCGAAGGUCAGGAGGGCAACCCGGAGACGGAGGUCCAGAAAGCCGGACUCGAGGAGCCCGAAGAGGAAGUUGAGUGCCCGAAUCAUGAACCAGCCUAGUUUGUGAGAGGCAAGCCCCGGAGCAUCCUAAGUCUCCCCUUUAUUUUCAAAAGUUUACUUGAAUAUGUUAUAUCUAUUGAUGCAUUUAAGUAUAGGAGUUGUGAUGAAACCUUUGCUGCAUUUUACUCAUUCCUUGUCCAGAUAUCUUACCUUUACCUGGUUAUAGAGUUAGGAUCGAGUAGCAGCUUAGCCAUGCUUUAAUCGGUAGAAGUCGGGUGAUAUCCUGUCACCUGCGCGAGAUAGGGUUAUGUCGGAUCACGAUGGACUAUAUGUGCUAUCGUGGAUGGAACCUGAUUAAAUUGACUUAAGCCGGGCGGAGUUUUGCAAGGUUGUAGUAACUCCAUCUGUGGCAGCUAAGGACCGACCGUUGUACAUCCUCUUGUCAUGUUGAACGCAUGCCUAACACUUAGUUGGCCGGAUACUCGUUCCGACCGCGAAGCCUAGUAAUAUGACUCAGGCCGGAAGACCGGCAAGUAUAAAGUGCGCACUACCGGAGGAAGUGCGGUGUGCGAGGGACCAUUGGCGUAAGUCCAAAGGUAGGUGAGUUAAAAUUCCUGACCUCCCUGGCAGAAUGGUAGCCCUGGGAGUGCGGCGCUGAUCGGAGCCGCGAUUCCUGAGUCGUACCAAAUGUGACCCGUUGGCUCUCCGACGGGGGAUGCUUGGGUGAGUGCUAGGAAUACCCCUCCAGCUGGAUAGGAAUUCGAUUCGAAUCGCCGUCUCUCCCAGUUAGUGAGAACUUGACAGAGCAGCGGCAAACGUAGCAUUCACUAAUGAACUUGGUUCGUGAUAAUGAUGAUAGCAAGGAAGAACAUAUGAAGAAUUUGAUAUGGUUAUUAUUGCUUGUAAUAAUCAAGUGAAGUGCUUUAGUAAAGGUGCUAAUCUAGUGGUAGGCUGAUGAUGAUUAAUAUGAUGCUCUCACCACUUUGUAGUUAUAAUUUAAGCUUUUGGCAACUGUUGAGUCAACCAGCUCCAAUUGAUAUUAGCCUUGCAUGAUCCUUGGUGUCUUUUAUGUUUUACUAGACGGGUAAGUCUAGCUGAGUACAAUCUCGUACUCAGGGUUUAUUCCCACUUGUUGCAGAUGAUAUCUUUUAUGAUGGCUUCUGCAAGACCUAUCUCCAUCCCGCUGGGGAUGAGGACCAACCAUUGGGCACGGUUCUCUAACUACUUUGUAUCUGUUGCUUUUGGAUGGAUGGCAUAAGACCCUGGCUGAACAAGAAAUUGUGAAAUGAACUUUGGAAAGUGUGUGUAAUUAUUUUGCUUCCGCUAAUUCGAACAUGUGUUGUAAUAACUUAAUAACUCCAAUGUGGUGCCGCUUCGUCGGCAAUGAAUGACUAUGUAACAUUCGCUGUGUUGUGUUGAACUAUUACGAUCUUGGUUUGUUGCAAGUUGGUUUGAAGUCCUUCGCGAUUUCAGUUGACUACCGGGAUUAUAUGGGCUCAAGUUUGGAAACUUGAUUGCUUGUCGAUCGUUUCUACACUUGAACUCUUAUAAUUUGUUCGGUUCUGUGACAGCUGGCAUCGGAGCAAGUUCAGCAUUAUAAAUGCAAUGUUUGUGUAUUUAAAAACAAAAGAGUUUUUAAAUAAAAUUUUGAAAAUCAACACUUAAUCAUGCCAGUGGUCGAAUCCUCCUUGCCCAUAUAAGGACUAUAGGUGGCUAUUUAAGUACUGACUUGGGGGGUUUUAUUUAUGCAUCUCCGGCAGUACUCAGGUAUGGAUGUGUGAUGACUACACUAUGCUACCCUGUGGUCUAAUGGUAGAGGUAGCCUUCAUAUGUGAACUAGCCACAUAUGUCGCUAGAUUUAAAUUCUGCAACGUCGCACCUACGCUCUGGUAAGUGUGAGCUGUGAGAGCAUGAUCGUCCAAAUGGCGGUCCAGGGGAGUGUUCGCGGUGGUUUUCUGGAGCGGUUACAUGUCAAAACCAUGGAACCACGAAAGAAACUUAAUUGGGGAGCAUUUAAUUUCUCGGGUAGCUGUGGUGUCAUUGUUUAUGCAUGUUGGGCAUGUCCAAGCAAUGUGCACUUAGUUUACUGCUUUCUUGAGUGAUAUAUUGGGAACUGUUGGGCUGCAAUGAAGUUUUCUGCAGGUACUCUAACAGCGCAUGAGUAAUUCGCUAGAUAUCGUAUUGAGAGACGAAUGUAUGCCACCGUAUAUCCGUUAGAAUAUUAAUUUUCUAAGUUUGUGAGGAGGUACAGUUCGUGCAUGCAUCAUGUCGCAUUCAUACAUACAUUCUAACUACUCCUUCCCUUACCAUGUCAUCCCUUUUAAUUAAAUAAAUGUUGCUUAAAAUUAAUCUCCUCUUACCCAUGGUAUUCCUAUUUCUUUCCACAGAUGGACGUGGCUGCUUCACCUCACCCCAGUGACACCUUUCUGAGCGAGUUUGGCACUCCUACCUUGCUCUGGAGGGUGCUACAGUCUGUGGGAUAUACUGAGCCACCUCAGUAUUCUUGGUGGGAGGUGGAUAUGACAGGAGAGUUGCAGUGGUUUGCUGUGCAGGGAGUUGUCCCUCCACAUGGGGGCAGGCCUGCAUGGACAGGGUGGACCUGUAACUCAGAUGGGCAGACUCCUUGGGAAGCAGCUCAAGUUGCAGCCCAGGCUAUGCUGCUCAAUAUCUGUCAGAGGUUUGGUGAUGAGCUGACCAGAGGACCAGUGGCCUCCAUUCCACGUGCUAACCCAGCAGCAGCGGAGUGGAAGCAGGCUGAUGGUUGUGCGUUGGUCCGAGGCAGGGUAGAGCGAGCUGAGAGUUCUAGUCCUGCUAUGAGUGCUAUGAUGGCUGUGCUCAAGCCGUUCAGUCAACGAGAGGACACUUAUGCACAGGUGAUGGUGGCUGUUCGCCAGGCUCAGGAGAUGCAACAAAAGGCGGAAAAGUGUGCUCGCAAGUUUCGCAAGCAAGCUAGGCUCCUGGAGCAAGCUCAGAAGGACCGCAAUGACUGGGAAGGUAUUGCGGAGUACCGUAGGCUGCAGUGGGUGAAGGCUAUUAGGGAGAGAGAUCAUAAGCAGGAUCAGAUGAGUCAGUUGGCUAGAGAGAGGGAGACAGUGCAGGAGCGCUUGGUGCAGGUCACUCGUGAGAGGGAUACUGCACUCCGUGUGUUAGAGAACUGGCGCCGGGCUUGGGAGAUGCACUGGAUUCAGUCGCUUGAGAGGGAGAACUAUCUGUCGGAUCAGAUUGAGGCUGGUCUUGUGGAGAUUCACCGUCUCAACAACUUGCUACACCCUAUUCCUCGCCCUGUGCCCGUGUAUCCAGAGGUGGGACCUCAGGUGAUUGUGGCCGAUGAUGAUGGUAUGGAGGUAGAUGGACCAGCAGUAGCUGCACCACCCUUGCACGAGGACAUGGAGGGCGAGGAGCUUGAGCUAGUUAGCAAUGAGGAUGGAGAGGCGAUCUUCGACGCUGACUCGGACGAUGAGCCUGGAGUGUAGUGAGUUGUGGGUAGUUGUUAUGUGAGGAUCUUUUGGUAGUAUGACAAGUCAGUAGUGGUGCUUUUGUAAUCAUGAUGUAAUCCGGAACCUUGAUCUUGCCUUAUGUCAUGUACUAUGAUGGUGUAAUAACUUUAUGGACCCAAUGUGUAACCUUAACAUGUUCGAUCUGUUAUGACGAUGUUUUCUGUUGUGGUGAAUAUUGCGGAUAUCUCUGUCAAGUGUUGGAUUGGUGAUGUUGUUUUGUGGAAUUGAAUUAUUGUGCCUUUUUCUAUAAAGCUAUUCUCUCGAAUACUUUCAGGCAUAAAUAUAAGCUCUUCUACGGCAAAUCUAGUCAUCAUCAAUGCUCACUGACUGUAUCUUUACAGAUGUCUCGUGGCACUCAAGGUGCGAAGAUGAACCCAUCCCCUCCUCCUCCACCACCAAAUCCAGCUGGGCUGAUGCAAAUGAUGGUGGAAAACCAGAGCAUGCUCACUGAGACCAUCAAUCAGAUGGCAAAUCAGGGUGGUCGUAAUGCACAAGAAGGGCCAGCACCUAACCAGUACAGUAGCUUCAAGGACUUCAUGGAUACAAAGCCCCCACCUUUCAAAGAGGCUGAAGAACCCCUUCAAGGUGAGGAAUGGCUGAAUACGGUGGAACAAAAGUUCCUCCUGCUUCGGUUGACUGAGGGUUUGAAGGCCGAGUAUGCAGCUCACCAACUGCAGGGACCAGCAGGUAUCUGGUGGAAUCAGUAUCGGGAAGCUCUUCCAGCCGACACUGUGCUUGACUGGAAUCUCUUCCGUGAAGCUUUCAAGGGGCAUUUCAUUCCUCCUGGUGUCAUGGAAAUGAAGCAUACCGAGUUUAUGCAGUUGACUCAAGGCAACAAAACUCUGAAGGAGUACUUGCAUGCUUUCAAUCAUCUGUCAAGGUAUGCUCCUGAGUUUGUGAACACUGAGACAAAGAAGAUUGCCAGUUUCAAGCGGGGUUUGGGCCCCAAGUUGCUGAAAACCAUGGGCCGCACUAAGUGUGCAACUUUCAAUGAGUUUGUCAGUGAUGCUCUUACCCAAGAGAACUACAACACUGUGUACACUGCGACCAAGACUCGCAAGAGGGCUUUUGAGGCCGGGGCAAGGGCAUCCCAAUCCAAGGCUCCAGUGGCAGCUAGGCCACCGAUCUGUGCUCCAACUCCUAACCAGUGGUAUCGCCCGCCUGUGAAGAAGAAUUAGGCGAAGACGGGUUUCCGCAAGGGUUACUCCAUUGCUCUUCCUAGGGGCAACAUGGGUCCCAGCUAUGCCAAGACUCCACCUGCCAACCGUCUGUGCUGGAACUGCAAUCAGACCGGGCACUGGCAGAGCAAUUGUCCUUACCCUCCGAACAAGGGCAACCAAGGGAACGUCCGCCAGGGGCGUGUUCACUACACAACUGUGGAGGCGAUCCCUGCUGGUGAGGUAGUUACAGCUGGUAAGUUUCUGGUUAACCAAUGUGAUGCACUUGUGCUUUUUGAUUCAGGAGCAUCACAUUCUUUUGUGAGUUCAGACUUUGUGUCUAAGCAUAAUCUCAAGGCAAUUACACUUGAUAAGGGUAGUUAUUGCAUUAGUGCUGCUGGGAAUGAUAUUUCUACCAAUCAAGUGGUUUUUGGAGCAACUCUGGAAAUUGGAGGCCGUCAGUUUCUUGCUGAUCUGGUUGUCUUACCCGGUGUGGGUAUAGAUGUAAUUCUGGGUAUGAAUUGGAUGAGUGGUAACGGAGUUCUUAUCGACACCACCACUCGUGUAGUUAUGUUGAGAGACCCAAAUACCAAGGAGGCGUUCUUAGUGCAACUUCCUCAAGAUAUCCAUAUCCGUAGCACUGCGAAUGCAGUUACAUCUAAGGCCAUCAAGGAUAUUCUGGUCGUGUGUGAGUUCUCGGAUGUAUUCCCUGAUGAUUUGCCCGGGCUUCCUACAGACCGAGAUGUGCAGUUCAAAAUUGAAUUGAUCCCAGGUACCGCUCCUAUCUCUAGAAGACCAUAUAGAAUGCCACCAAAUGAGCUAGUUGAGCUUAAGAUCCAGUUGAAUGAGUUGUUAAAGAAGGGUCUUAUCCGUCCUAGUUCUUCUCCUUGGGGUUGUUCGGCUAUCUUUGUGAAGAAGAAGGAUCAAUCCUUGCGCAUGUGUGUGGAUUAUCGUCCCCUAAAUGCGGUGAUCAUCAAGAAUAAAUACCCUCUUCCUCGCAUUGAUCUCUUGUUUGAUCAGUUGUCUAAAGCUAAGGUAUUCUCCAAGAUUGAUUUGCGAUCUGGGUAUCAUCGGAUCAAGAUCCGUCCUGAAGAUGUACCUAAGAGAGCUUUCUCGACGAGGUAUGGGUUGUAUGAGUAUCUCGUCAUGUCCUUCGGUCUUACGAAUGCACCUGCUCAUUUCAUGUACCUUAUGAACUCGGUGUUCAUGCCCAAAUUGGACAAGUUUGUGGUGGUCUUCAUUGAUGAUAUCCUCGUAUAUUCCUGCAAUGAAGAGGAGCAUGCAGAGCAUCUGCGUGUGGUGUUAUCAUGCUUGCGUGAGCAUCAGCUUUAUGCCAAAUUUAGCAAAUGCGAGUUUAGGCUAAAGAAAGUACCUUUCUUGGGCCAUGUCUUAUCUGAAGAAGGCAUAUCGGUGGAUCUGGCUAAGGUGCAAGAAGUGCUGGAUUGGAAAGUUCCUACAUCGGUGCACGAGGUUCGGAGUUUUCUCGGUUUGGCUGGAUAUUAUCGACGAUUCAUUCUGGAAUUUUCAAAAAUAUCCAAGCCUAUGACUCGUCUACUUCAGAAAGAUGAGAAGUUUGUGUGGACGCCUGAGUGUGAAGAGGCAUUCCACAAGUUGAGGACGUUUCUGACAUCAGCUCAUGUCCUAGCUCAACCUGAUAUCGAGAAGGCAUUCGAUGUCUUCUGUGACGCGUCGGGUAUUGGUCUAGGCUGCAUGUUGAUGCAGGAAGGUCGCGUUAUCGCGUAUGCCUCGUGCCAACUUCGAAAGCAUGAGGUCAAUUACCCUACUCAUGACUUAGAAUUGGCAGCAGUUGUUCAUGCUUUGAAAAUCUGGAGGCACUAUUUGCUGGGUAAUCUAUGCAAUAUCUACACCGAUCAUAAGAGCCUCAAGUACAUCUUCACUCAACCUGAAUUAAAUAUGCGGCAGCGAAGGUGGCUUGAGUUGAUUAAAGAUUAUAAUCUACAAGUGCACUAUCAUCCGGGCAAGGCAAACGUGGUUGCGGAUGCCUUGAGUCGAAAAGCGCACUGUCACUCAGUGCAGGUGGAAGAUCCGUUGUUAUCACAUCUUAUGCAUCCACUUGUGCUCAACCAGAUUUCUCUGGAGAGUACCCUUCGCAAUCGAAUUAUCGAAUUACAGCAAAAAGAUGUAGGUAUCCAACAUAUAAAGAGGAAAAUGACAGAAGAAGAAACCAAGCAUUUCUGGGUCGAUGAGAACGGAAUUCUUUGGUUCAAUGAUCGACUAGUGGUCCCAAAAGACCGUGAGCUACGAAAUCAGAUCUUAUCUGAAGCUCAUUCAUCCAAAUUUUCUAUCCAUCCUGGUAGCGGCAAGAUGUAUCAGGAUCUGAAACCUCUGUUUUGGUGGACAAAGAUGAAAAAGGAGAUUGCUGCUUUUGUCGCUUGUUGUGACAAUUGUUGUCGCGUGAAGGCCGUUGACAUGAAAGCUGGUUUGCUUCAACCCUUGUCAAUUCCUGGUUGGAAAUGGGAAGAAGUCAGCAUGGAUUUCAUCGUUGGACUCCUAACUUCUGUUAAGGGUUACGACUCUAUCUAGAUAAUUGUAGAUCGUUUGACUAAGGUUGCUCGUUUUAUUCCAGUUCGAACUGACUAUCGCCCACAUCAAUAUGCAGAGUUAUAUUUCGAGCACAUUGUUCGUUAGUAUGGUGUGCCUCGAACCAUCAUAUCAGAUUGUGGACCAUAGUUCACUGCCUAUUUUUGGGAGUGUUUACAUGAGCAGAUUGGUACUCACUUAUUCCGUGGUUUUGCUUAUCAUCCCCAAACGGCAGGUCAAACUGAACGGGUCAACCAAAUCCUAGAAGACAUGUUGAGGGCAUGUGCUCUCUCUUCAAAGGGUUCUUGGGUUAAGUGGUUGCCAUUAGCUGAGUUCUCCUACAAUAAUAGUUAUCAGGAAAGUAUCAAGAUGGCUCCAUUUGAAGCCCUGUAUGGUCGAAAGUGUCGAACCCCGUUGAAUUGGGUAGAAUCCGGGGAGCGAAUGUAUUAUGGCAUCGAUUUUGUGAACGAAGCGGAGCAGCAAGUCCGUACCAUCCAGCAACAUCUGGAAGCUGCUCAAGCUCGUCAGAAAAGUUAUGCUGACAAGAGAAGGAAGCCGAUUGAGUUUGCAGUCGGUGACCAUGUAUAUAUCAAGGUGUCUCCGAUGAAGGGCGUACAAAGGUUUGGAGUCAAGUGAAAGCUUGCACCUCGUUAUGUGGGACCCUAUUAGAUUCUUGAAAGGAAAGGGGAUGUGGCAUACAAAGUUCAACUCCUAGUUGAGCUUCGAGCUAUUUUUCCUGUCUUCCACGUAUCUCAAUUGAAGAAGUGCCUUCGUGUUCCGGAGGAACGAGUGGAAGUUCGGGAUAUCAAGUUAAAAUCUAAUUUCGAGUAUGAAGAACAACCUGUAGCGGUUCUUGACCGCAAGGAAAGGGUAACUCGUAAUCAUGUGGUUAAAUUCUACAAGGUGUUGUGGAGUAACCAAGGGGAAGAAGAUGCCACUUGGGAAACAGAGGACUAUUUAAAAGAAGUUUAUAAAACCUUCUUCGAAAACCAGUAAGCUUCCAAAUCUCGGGACGAGAUUUUUGUAAGGGGGGAGGGCUGUAACACCCCAGUGUUAUGGUUGCAUAAAUCACAUGAAUAACUUGAGCAUCAUUAGUUACUCAAGCAUAUCAUGAUCAUCAUCUACCUUGAGUCAUGUCAUUCUAUGCAAAAAUGUGAUUUAAGUUGUCUAAAUAGGCUUCCUAGGAUUGUGUUGGUGCAUACCAUGCUUGUGUUUGUGCUCUAUGCCUUUGUAAUUAUUUUAUCUAUGCUUAACUCAACAUUAGGAUCAAUGUUCAUGUUGAUCACUUCUCCAAAAUAAUCACUUAAGUCAUACUUACUUUAAUAGGCCCUAGAAACCUCUUUCGCUUAGGCUUUUAAAAAGUGUUUCAUAAAUUAUUUGCAUGUCAAAGCUUUCUACAGCAAAGUUGUAGCAAAUUUUAUAAGGAACAAAAGUUGUUUUAUGGCCAUCUCAAGAAAAUGAUCAAAACUAGCUCAAAAGUGACCCACAAGGCAGAUUUGGGGCUGUUUCCAACACUUAGAAAUAUUUUCUAAGUCCGGGAACACAAACAGUUUGCCCGAUCGAUUUUGAAAACUUCAUACCUCUCAAUCCAGGCCGAUCUAGCUUUUGCUCUAGUUGACAAUGUUGUAGAACUUAGCUAGUACUCCAACUUUGUCAACAACAUCAUCUCCUAACUCGCUCUGGUUUGGGAGUUAAUCGUUGUCAAAGUAGCUCUGUCAGUCGGCCAUCGUUUUAACUGAAUCGAGGCCGAGCUCGUCGACGUGGCCGACCGGCGGUAGAGCUCCGUCGACAUUUGGCGUCUGUACGUCGCUCCUGGCCCCGCUUGUCAGCUCCCAGCGCGCGCAUGACCUCCACGGCGACACCCCGGGCGAAGUGAACGCGUCCAUUUCCUUCUGCUUCGCCCUCUCUCGCCAGAAACGCGGCCGCAGCGAGCUCACCGUCGCGAGCUCACUCCGGCGAGCUCGUACGUGCUCUGCGCUGAUGACCACCAAACUUUGCCCACAGCUCCGCCGUGAACCGCUCUCCACCCUCCACCCGCUAACUCGCCGUGAAACCCGCCGGUGAGCCGCCAUUUCCAUUUUCCCCAAAUCGGGUUGCCGUGACCUUUUUCUCCGGCGAACUCAAUGCCGAGCUCCUCGGAGCCUCUCGUCUUCUCUGGUUAGGUUGUAGAGGUAGCUUAGGUCCUUAGCGAGCGUUUGCGCCACUUGGUGGACGCUCUACCGCGCUCACCGUCGCCGGACACGACGCGCAGCGCCGCCGUGUUUCCGCCGGAGUUGGGGUCUCUCGUGGCCAGCGCGUUCCACGCCGUUUCAAGCCAAGUCGCCGACCUAGGAAGCUUUGCUGUAGUCCGCUGGUGCUGUAGGAAACCCUAGGUCGCGCUCUACCGUCCUGAGAGCUCUGGUGUAACGCCGAGCACCUCCGCCGAGCCGCCAUGAUCGACGGCGAGCCCCUUCCGGUGGCUCCGCCGUGGGGAAAAGGGGGUCAAUCGAGUCGCAAGGGUCUGGGGAUCACGUUGGUGCCCUUGGUUUGGCCGGAGACCUCGCCGUCGCGGAGAAAUCGCCGGCGAGAGUCGCGGCGGCUGUGAGGAAGAAGAACCUGUCGCGUGGGCUCUGCUGUCAGUGACACUCGUUUCCCUCCUUUUGUUUUAUUCAAAUCCAGAUUUUUGGCUUUCUUGCAAAAAUCAUAUCUUCUAUUUCUGAGAUCCAAAAAUUGUGAAACCAAUUUUGUGAGAUUCUCUGUUAUGGCUAUUGUUUUGAAAAAAUAUAAAAUGAACCAUGUUUUAUGGGAAAAAUAAUUAUUAGGAUUUAAUCUUGUUAUUCAUGAGUAAAUCCAUAUCUUUUGUUAUACUGCUCCUUUUGCUAUGAAAUUUUUAUGGUAGUCUCUGUGUGGUACUAGAAUGCGAUGAUAAAUAUUUCAUGAUUUUUGGAGUAACAUAUCUGUGAUAUGUAAUUUAUGUUAGUUCUAUGGCUUGUUUUAUUUUAAAUCACAAUAAUUAAUUGGUGAUUAUGCUGAUGCUCUACUUUGGUGGCAAACUUGUUUGUGGUAUUGGUAACAUGUAAAUAAUCUGAAAUCUGUUGUUUGACACUUUAUAAGCCAUGUUCCUUAAUUUAUGAAAUAUGUACCUUGUCACUUGUUAAAUGCUUAUAUAAAAAUUGGCAUGUGCAAUUGCCCUGAAAGUUUUAUGGUGAUGUUAUGAUGCUAUGCUUGUACUUCUGUAAUUUUUGUAGAUUUUUCUGAGCACUUUUAUCAGUAUCUUGUAAUUAUGCCCCUUUAUAGAAUUAAAUUAAUAAAUGCCUUGUUAAUAAAUGUUUAGAAGUUAUCAUAUGAUGUUCUGGUUGUCUAAUGAUGUGUUUGUGUUGAUAAGCCAUGUGGUUGACAUUGUUUAUGCUUUGGCUAUGUUAUCAAAUAAUUAAUUAAAGGGUUAAGAGCUGCUCUGGGCAGCAAGGAAGCAAUUCAAUCUUUUCUUAUUAAAAACUUGGUUUUCUGGAAGGCUUGUCUAAAUCAAAGUUGUUGUAAACUUUAUGAAUUAGCUGAGGUUUAAAUUUGGGAUCAUUUGGUCCUGUAGUUUGAAAGUUAUGGUUGUUCCAAGUUGGAUUCCAGAAAUAGGCGCUUUCUGUUUUUCUGGGACAGAACCUGGAACUUUGUUUAAAUGACUUGUUUAACCUAUGAAUCUUGCUAUGAUGUUUAAACAUGAUUUGUAGGCAAUAUCAUAAGCUUUCCAGAAUGUCCUCACUUAUGUUUGUUGGAUCAUUUUUGCAAUAGUUAUGACCUGUUUACUCAGCUGUUCUUUAGGUAAUGCUUGCUGUUUAUAGGUUAUCUUGGUAGGUUUUGGCUAAGUUAACUUACCAUCUUGUGUGAACUUGUCAUAACCGUUACUCCGUAAAUGAGUGUCCAGUGAGUUUAAUUAUGUGUCAAGCAUUCAUCCUUUAGUAUGCACACUUUCUUAUUCAUCGAGCAUGCAAUAGGUGCACCGGACGCGACCGCCCCCUACGAGCUUCAAGUGAACCCCGAAGGUCAGGAGGGCAACCCGGAGACGGAGGUCCAGCAAGCCGGACUCGAGGAGCCCGAAGAGGAAGUUGAGUGCCCGAAUCACGAACCAGCCUAGUUUGUGAGAGGCAAGCCCCGGAGCAUCCUAAGUCUCCCCUUUAUUUUCAAAAGUUUACUUGAAUAUGUUAUAUCUAUUGAUGCAUUUUAGUAUAGGAGUUGUGAUGAAACCUUUGCUGCAUUUUACUCAUUCCUUGUCCAGAUAUCUUACCAUUACCUGGUUAUAGAGUUAGGAUCGAGUAGCAGCUUAGCCAUACUUUAAUCGGUAGAAGUCGGGUGAUAUCCUGUCACCUGCGCGAGAUAGGGUUAUGUCGGAUCACGAUUGACUAUAUGUGCUAUCGUGGAUGGAACCUGAUUAAAUUGACUUAAGCCGGGCGGAGUUUUGCAAGGUUGUAGUAACUCCGUCUGUGGCAGCUAAGGACCGACCGUUGUACGUCCUCUUGUCAUGUUGAACGCAUGCCUAACACUUAGUUGGCCGGAUACUCGUUCCGACCGCGAAGUCUAGUGAUAUGACUCAGGCUGGAAGACUGGCAAGUAUAAAGUGCGCACUACCGGAGGAAGUGCGGUGUGCGGGGGACCAUUGGCGUAAGUCCAAAGGCAGGUGAGUUAAAAUUCCUGACCUCCCUAGCAGAAUGGUAGCCCUGGGAGUGCGGCACUGAUUGGAGCCGCGAUUCCUGAGUCGUACCAAAGGUGACCCGUUGGCUCUCCGACGGGGGAUGCUUGGGUGAGUGCUAGGAAUACCCCUCCAGCUGGAUAGGAAUUCGAAUCGAAUCACCGUCUCUCCCGAUUAGUGAGAACUUGACAGAGCACCAGCAAACGUAGCAUUCACUAAUGAUCUUGGUUCGUGAUAAUGAUGAUAGCAAGGAAGAACAUAUGAAGAAUUUGAUAUGGUUAUUAUUGCUUGUAACAAUUAAGUGAAGUGCUUUAGUACAGGUGCUAAUCUUGUGGUAGGCUAAUGAUGAUUAAUAUGAUGCUCUCACCACUUUGUAGUUAUAAUUUAAGCUUUCGGCAACUGUUGAGUCAACCAGCUCCAAUUGAUAUUAGCCUUGCAUGAUCCUUGGUGUCUUUUAUGUUUUACUAGACGGGUAAGUCUAGCUGAGUACAAUCUCGUACUCAGGGAUUAUUCCCAAUUGUUGCAGAUGAUAUCUUUUAUGAUGGCUUCUGCAAGACCUGUCUCCAUCCCGCUGGGGAUGAGGACUAACCGUUGGGCACGGUUCUCUAACUACUUCGUAUCUGUUGCUUUUGGAUGGAUGGCAUAAGACCCUGGCUGAACAAGAACUUGUGAAAUGAACUUUGGAAAGUGUGUGUAAUUAUUUUGCUUCCGCUACUUCGAACAUGUGUUGUAAUAACUUAAUAACUCUGAUGUGGUGCCGCUUCGUUGGCAAUGAAUGACUAUGUAACAUUCGCUGUGUUGUGUUGAACUGUUACGAUCUUGGUUUGUUGCAAGUUGGUUUGAAGUCCUUCGCGAUUUCAGUUGACUACCGGGAUUAUAUGGGCUCAAGUUUGGAAACUUGAUUGCUUGUCGAUCGUUUCUACACUGAACUCUUAUAAUUUGGUCGGUUCUGUGACAUCUAAACAACCUCGGCCCAAUUCUCCUACAGAUUCCUCGAAUUUCUCAACCUCUCAACCAAAUCUCUCCAUUUUAUGCGCUCAUCGGCAAUAUUACCGUUAGAGAAAACUACCGAUGGGCCGACCAGGCGAUCUUGCACAGUAAAAUAUCUUCAAAAUUAUGACCGCUUGCCGUCAAAUCACCUGCGCAAUCCCUUGAUUAUCGUGCGAACAGUUACCAUAUCCAACUGAACACCCUCGGAUUUCACGGAUGCGGCAAAGAGAUAAGUCAGAUUUGCCCCUGCCCGUUUUGUCCUAUAAAUACUUCCUUCUCCGGUACUCCUUCUCCAUCUUAUCAUUCUACAGCUUAAAAUCCACUUUCCUGGCGGCGGCGUUGCCCAAGAGUUCCAAGAACUUCAGCAAGAGCCUCCUUCACCAAUCCUCCAAGUCUUCGAUCCUCUUCCUCGCGAAUAAAUGACCAUCAACUUCGUCGUUCCUGAGGUCAGUCUCCCAUCUUUUUCUUUUCGCACUUUUGCUGUACUCCUAUUCAUCUGCGAUUCCUUUUACUGAGUACCCCUUUUUUUCUUUUUGUUCUUUCAUCCUCAAAACUCUUUACGACUUGGCUGAUAAGAUUGUAAUUCCCACCAAUCAACCUCACUUCCAAUGUCUCGGCCCGUUAGGAAAUCCAGAUCCCACCGAUCUAAUAAACGCAGAGACAAAUAGAAUCCCCUUCAGAGCCGAAAACUUUUCCUUAUAUCUGUGGAAAGAUGCCUUUCGUUCCUGACCUAGUCCCACCAAGGGAUGGAAAGACUGGUUCCUGAGAGUCAGCCACUCAAAUGAAGUCCAGUGGGGUGAGCGGAAAUUAGACCAGUGCAUCAGAUUAUCUCUUGCCGACAUGGAGAGAAACGAGUCACUACUGAUAGCUGCCUCGUAUUUUUGGUCAGACAUGCUCAAUGCUUUUGUAUUCGGCCAUGGCCCUGCUUCACCCACUCUUGCCGAUGUACUUAUGCUCACCAGCUUAGACAUAUCCACUGCCGAUAAUAGUCACCUGUUUGACACCAAGCCCAGUUCUAAAGUAGAAACUCGCACUAUCAGCAGUUGGUCUAGAUACAUUCAGAAGUACCGAAAGACAGGACCUGUCGGGGAAAGGGAGCAGGCAAUUUUCUUGAACAUGUGGUUGGAUAAGUUCGUGUUCUGUGGCCGAUCGGCAGGACCAACCUCUGUCUAUCUAUCGACAGCAGAAAGACUGGCCAAUGGUGGCCGAUUUCCUCUUGGCCGAUAUUUGCUUGGCUCUGUUUACCACCUCCUCCAAUAGGUAGCUAAGAAACUACUGCUAGGCCAACCCAUCGGCAACUUAGGGGGACCCUGGUGGUUCAUCAAUAUGUGGCUUAGUGUCCACAUGCAUAAGCGCCUUGGAUUUGACCUCUUUGCACAGCGCUUCCCCAGAGAUAUAGCUGAAGAUCAUGAGUUGGAUGUAGAAGAAUCGGCAACUCAUUCCCCUCUGAACUAUGGUGAAGCCGCCAUAGUCCUACCUAGUACCGGUGGCAAUGAGGACCGGGUUAGCCAAUUCUUUCAGACUCUCUAUGAGGGUCUGGCCAAAGACCAGCGGGCAUGGAUGCAUUAUGAGGAUCCAGAAACCAGAUUCCUGCUCACUUUCCACCCCUUCGACAAUGCUCUCAAUAAGGACCACGAUCUGAUGAUGGCAAUCAUCACUCCGAGAGUCAUACCAGUGAACUUCUUUGGUAGCGGGAAAGCCUCCAACCUGACCUAUGAGUUCUAUAACCUAUCGGCACUAGCUCGCCAACUAGCCUUUGGACAACUGCCGAUUGCACUCUGCUACGCCGAUGUGGUGAAACCAAGGGAAACCAUAUCCAGCGGUCUCGAGUGGAUCAGAGUAGCUCAACUUCCACCAAAUGCCGAUAUAGAUGUCGAUCUAUCGGCUUGGAUCCCGGCUCUCUUCAUUACCCAGGCAUACAAGUAGUGGUUAUUGACUGUCCUUAAGUAUCAAAUAUAAUUAUCAAAUAAACAAAGAAAAGCAUCCAAAUGAAAUCAACAUCUAGACUUAGGGUUUUAUCUGAUAGAAUUCCACGAGUUUUGGUGUUUGUCUAUUUUUGCAGGGGGUUAUUAGGAAAUAUGGAAGAAAGCCCCACACCUCGGGAUUACAUAGAGAUAUCAACGUGCCGCGCAAUUAUCUUACAUCUAGAAGACUCCAAAAGCCACGGGAAGGAAGCGGAGGCCGAACGGGGCCAGGCACUGGGCGCCCGCCCAGUUGACAUGGGCGCCCGCCCACCUCUGGAGUCCAAACAGGACUCUCUUUCGGGAAAGAUCUCCACCGACCUAAAGGAUCAAGGAUAACCGUUCAAUCAAUGUCGGUUUGAUCCAACGGCCCAUAUUCACUUGAAGGGACUAUAAAACCAGACCCCCUGGCCCCUGGAGGAGGGAGCCUCUCAACCCUAAUUCAUUAUUCCUCAAGGGAGAAGAAGCCUCUGAUCAAGAUUAGAGCCACCACAUCAAUUAGAUAUCUAGAUUAGCAUAGCUACAUAGGAUUAGAACUAGAAGGAGUCAAUCUUCGAUUGGUUUCUGGAUCUGUCAAGAGGAUUCUUGGUAAUUCUCUAAUUGUUCUUCUAAUUGUUCUUCUAAUCAUCUUUGUUCUUCAAUAUUAUGAAUAUGACUUUGUCCUACUUCAAUAUAUUGCUUAUGACUUUGCUCUACUUGUUCAUAUUCAAGAUUAUAUUGUUCUUAGUCUAUCAUAGUUAUGUACUUGGCUUAGUUAGAUUGGAUCUAUAUACAUGCUUAGGAUCGUAUAGCGUUUAUCCAUCGGAUCCAUGGGUAAAUGAAAGAUAUUGUGUAGGCGUGGUGCUUAUACCGUAUUUAUCUGCGAUUGUACCCCAUAUGCCAGAUCGUGGGGUAGUUCGUGAUAGUGACAGCUUCAUUGAGUCUUAUAUAGUCCCCCUCUCGUGUAUUGGGCUGGCAGAGCAAUAUUAUUACAGGGGAGUGAUUGCUAUGUUUCUCAUUUACCUUGCUAAUAUCACUAUGCAUGGGCGUAGUCUUGUCUUGCAAUGAUUGCUAAGUAUGCUUGCACUAACUAUGAUAAUGCUAGACUAUAUAGUUGAGAAUAACUUAUGAAAUAUUCUUUUAGUUCAUUCUAAUACCAUGCUAAUGACUUUCUAUAGUAUCUAAUUGAGGUGCUUAUCAUAUUUAUUAUGUGGCUAAGUUAUGCUGAUCGGACUAAUUAUCUUUGUCACUAUUCAUUACUUUAUAUAUCCUUUAUGUGACACUUACCCCUGUAUGAAAGAGUUAGAUAAAGGUUCUCAAUUAUACAUGCAAUGAUAGAUACUCAAUCUCAUAUUCUAUUCUGUAAUCAAUAUUGAUGGCUACUAAUCCCUUCCCAGUGGUAAAAAUAUAAAUAACAAUACCUGGAAUACUUCCCGGUUAAAAUGCUACAUCGGUAUUAAUCUGUGCGCUUGCAGAUCCCAUUCAUUAUUAUUUAGAAGAGAAAUUGCAUAUUUCAAUACCGCGUCUUUCAUGUCAUGCUGGGGAUGACAACUUGGCAUAAGUGGUAUGAGAGACAGGUUUGGCAUUUUUGGCACCGUUAUCAGAUUUAGAAAACUAAGUCUACUUUUGGUAAUGAUGUUAAGAAUAUCCAACAAGCAUUUUUGGGCGCCGUUGCCAAGGAAGGUUGAUUACUAAUCAGGAAUGAAUAUGGAAUUUUGAGUCAUCAUUCGCAUCACUAAUAUGAUUGAUCUUAUCUAUUCUCUCAUACAAUUUUACCCUGAUAUUUUUCUAUUUUCUCUUAUGCAGGGUAAUGUAUGAAUAGAAGGCAUCUUCCAGGACAUUUUGUUGACAAUCCCGAAGCAUUAUUCAGAAAAACAAGAGUCAAGCUCAAGAAGAGAUCAUCAACACUUCAGCAAGAAGCUUCAUCCAAUCAAGAAGAUCACCAGAACUUGUCUUCAGAUUUCGAAGCCAUGGCAAACAAAUCGAUCCGCGAGUUCUCAGCUCCCACUACAGACAACAUCCGCACUGGACCUGCUGCAGAGAUCGAUGGCAACUUUGAGCUCAAGCCUGGACUUAUCAACAUGGUGCAAUCCAACCAGUUCUGUGGGAAGGCACACAAAGUUGCUAGUUCUCAUCUCCAACACUUUCUAGAGAUUUGCAACACAUUCACUAUAUGAGGAGUCCCCAGAGAUGCUAUACUACUUCGCCUCUUCCCAUUCUCACUGUUAGGAAGAGCGAAGCAGUGGUUCUACGAUACAAAGGAGAAGAAUACUACGUGGGCACUCUACUCAACAAACUUCCUGGCUAAGUUCUUUCCCAUGGGCAAGACUAAUGCUCUUCGUGGGAAGAUUACAAGUUUUCAGCAACAAAAUGAUGAAUCUGUUCCAGAAGCAUGGGAGCGCUUCCAAGACUACAUCCUAGAUUGUCCCCAUCAUGGAAUGGAGAGCUGGCAACUAAUGCAAACAUUUUAUCAUGGGCUCGGCAACAGUGCUCGAGAAACCAUGGAUGCUGCAGCUGGAGGAGCAUUCUUAUCACUUACCAUAUCACAAGCCACAGCUCUUGUGGAGAAGAUGGCGUCCAACCAAAGCUGAAAUGAAGAGAGGACCCAGACACGCAAGAGAGGUGGAGGUAUGCAUCAGCUCAAGGAGGUAGACAUGCUGUCUGCAAAGCUAGACCUGCUCAUGAAGAAGCUCGACGAUAGAGCUAGAGAUAAGAAAGAAGUUAUGCACAUCUACGACUCUCACAUGACUUGUGAGGAGUGUGGAGAUACUGGACACUCAAGCAAUCACUGCCCUGAGAUGCUUGAGGAUGUGAACUACAUCAACAACAACAACUACUACUACUACAACUGUCCUCAACAAAAUCAAGGUUGGAAUCAACAGAGGCCUAACUACUCAGGUAAUUAUCAAGGUAACAAUUCUUACAACAAUAAUAAUAAUUUUCCACCUCUGAGAGAGUUAGCGUCUAAUCAAGGAAAGCUAAUGGAUAACCUGUCUAAGAAAUUGGCAUCUAAUGAUAAAAUGCUAGAAAAUAUAAAUAAUAGAAUGGAUAAUUUCUCUACUGCCAUCAAGAAUCAAAUUAGCUUUAAUAAAAUAAUUGAAUCUCAGUUAAAUGAAAUAGCUGCUGCUGUUCCUACUACUAACACCGGUAUACCAUCACAACCAGAAGGAUUAGAAUCUGCAAAUCUUGUAGACAUGUUUGAUGUAGGUAAUUGGAGUAACCCUGUCACUGAAUUCACUACUAACCUUCUGCCAGUCAAGAUAGGCGAUCUAGGACGCUCCAUCAUCUCGAUCUCCAUUGGCAUGGUGGACUUCCCAGAAGCACUCUGCGACUUUGGCUCUAGUAUCAACAUUAUACCCAGGGUACUCUAUGAAAAAUUCUUUACAUAUCCUUUAUUAGAAACAACCAUGUGUUUGCAGUUUGCAGAUAAGUUUUCCAAAAGGAAUAUUGAAGAACCUUUGUGUCUGAGUUGGUACCUUAUAUGCCCCAGCAGACUUCGUGGUGAUAGAGACCGGUAAUGAUGAGAGGGCACCCAUCAUCUUAGGGAGGCCAUUCUUGAACACCUCGGGAGUUGUCAUCUACGCUAGUGCUGCCAAGAUCAGUUUCUACAUCAAAGGGAGAAAGGAGACGUUUUCCUUCAAGAACAAGACUACAAAAAUCCUAGAUCAAUCCAGACGUGAAUCAAGGAAGAGGACCAACAGGAGGAACAGGAACAAGCAAGGGUGUACCGAGUCAGCUAAGAUGGUCACUGCAGUUCAUGGAGGCCAAGAUCAUCAACUUAAGUCACCAUUUUUGACCAAGAAGGACGACCCAGGAAUGCCAAGCAUCUAUUGCUCCAUAAAUGGAUACAACUUCUACAAGACGACUUGCGACACCGGAUCAGGCGUCAACAUAAUGGCCGCAGUCACCUAUCGGCUCCUGUUCGGACUCAUGCCCCUGAAACCAACAUACAUUCAGCUCCAGAUGGCAGAUCAGACAUUUCGAGAGGUUAAAGGAACAGUAACUGAUGUCCCUAUCAAAAUAGACGAUCAUUUUGUCUACACAGACUUUCAGGUUAUUGACAUGGGAGAAGACGAAUACGAUCCACCCAUCAUCCUUGGAUGACCGUUCCUCAGCACCGUUAAAGCAAUCAUCUACAUUGGAACUGGAGAAGUCCAUAUGCACUUCCCCUCGGAGAAGGUACGCCGCUAUUUUACUGACCCUAACUAUAUCGUUGAAGACUCUAAGUAGGUCAGGACAAGAAGAAAACGACGCAACCGCAACCAGAGGAGGCACAUGAUCAAGGAAGGAUGGGCAGACUACGAAAGAGAAGUGAUAAGGUCAGAAGACAUACAGUUUAAACUGAAUUAUCUAGAGAAGACCGUAGCACCGAGUCAGGUAUGGAAAGAGAAGAUAACUAUACAUGAAGAGGAGGCGCUGCCGGAAGUACCGACUCCGCCACCCAACGAAUCCCACGACAACUAGAAAGAGGAGAGUCCCGUUCGGAGGACUUAAAAACACCGAACGCCUUGCCAAGAUAUAAAGUUGGUAGUUAUCCUUUCCCUUUUAAUUAUUUAAAAUAGUUUGUUUAGUUAAUCAUGUUCAUACUAUCUUAAAAAGAAAAUAAAAAUGUUAAAAAACAGUAAGCCCCAUGUGAGUAUACGAGUGGCAUGAAACCCAUAAAUACAUUCACUGUGGUGGCAUAAUAAUAAAAUAAAUAUUUCUUUUCUGCUUUAUAAAAUGAAAAUAUAAAAAUAGAGAGUAAUAAUUAUUAAGGAGACUCAAUAUGAUAAAGGCUAGAUAUUUAUGCUAACACCUAAUCAGUUCCACAAAGAUUUGUUGUCUAUUUGAGCUCCACAGAAUUUAAGAAUCAAGAAGACUAGCAGAUGGAGGACAUUCUAAUCGCUGUCAAAUUACUGCCAACUUUCAAAUACACCUCUGCCACCUGCUAGCUACAUCAAGAGAAAUUACGUCAAAAUUCAGCUUGGGGGAGAGCACCCCCAUUUAUCCCGAUAAGUAUUUCUAUCUAUCUUUAUACUUAUACUAUAUUAAAAUAUAAAUAUACAUAAUUAUGGAAAACCAAAUAAAGAUUUUAUGCUUAUAUAUAUGUGUCUUUUGCUUAGUAUGUUUAAUAAACAAAUAAAGUGGCUAUGCUAAUCUGAAUCUUAAUAAUAAAACUCUAGCAUGGAUAUGAUGAAUAGUUGCUCUGCCUAAUUUUAAAAUUUGAAGUUCUCUCUCAAGUUUACACAUAACUGUUAUGAUUUAAAGCUUGCUCUAAACCUAAACUUGUGGGAAGAAAACUUGAUCUGAAGUCUAAGUUGUUAACAGAUACGAUAUGGGAAGGUUGAGCUGUUGUUUAUCUAUUCCUAGAGAUACUAGAAUUCUGGAGAAUUUUAUCUUUGAAAAUCUUUAAAAUAUUACAUGGUGAGUUCUUGUAUGAUGAGAUUUUAAAUUCCUACCACAGCCAUAUAUAGACAUGCUUGCUAGACUUUGAGCCACACAUUUACUUUUUACUGCUUAUGAGCAUUGAGUGUGGUUAAGCUGUCUAGACCCUUAGGAGCUUGUCAUGUGGUUAAAUCAAGAUUCACUUGCACGUUCACUCACAUUGGUUGCUUCUACUCCGGAAGUACCAUCCACAUAUAUCCACCCAUUUCCAUCUCCAGAACCACCCAAAAAUAUUCUACUCCUAAUCCGGGAGAGAAUAGCCAAAAAAAUUUCUAUUUUUUCCUUGUGAAAUAAAUGCUCAAGUUAUCUUGUUACUACCACUUGCUAUAUUAUCUCAAGAGAUGAGUGCUCUAAAAAAAGGGAAAAGAUACGAGGAAAUAAAAAGAGGCAAGUGCCCGGAACCUCUAAAGAAAAGAAAAAGUGAGACGAGAGGUAAAAAUGGACAAGUGCCCGACAAUAGAAUUAGGGGUACAAGAUACCCCCCUGAGAGGAAAGAAAAAAUAAGAAAAAGAAAAAUAUAGAGCAUCUCAUUCUCCUCGCAAAGUUUCAAAAAGCAAGAAAGGUAUGUAUCCCAUCAAAAGAGCAAUUGCAUAUUUCAAUACCGCGUCUUUCAUGUCAUGUUGGGGAUGACAACUUGGCUUAAGUGGUAUGAGGGAUAGGUUUGGCAUUUUUGGCACCGUUAUCAGAUUUAGAAAACUAAGUCUACUUUUGGUAAUGAUGUUAAGAAUACCCAACAGUGGUGGGAGGAGUGCAAAGAACACAUGUUCUGCAGAUCGGCCCUCACAUAGCGCGGCAUGAUCACCCCGAAUACAAGGUCCCUGAUAACACUGUAAGUCUUCAACCGAUACUUCAAUCUUAUUACUUUUGCUUUUAUCGGCAACUUACUUCCUCUAUUUUACAAAGGUCGUUGAUACACCACCGUCGGUCAGCAGAAGUGGUAGGCCGAUCGAACUUCCCCCAUCGGGCCCAAUCUCUUUGAUCGGCAACAACGCGCCAAGUUUGGCAGCUUUAAUGCACCGGGGUGUGCGCUUCAAGAAAAUUACCACCAAGCGAGCUAAGACAUCCCCAUCGGUAGCCGCUACUGCUUUGGCACAAGCUUUCAAGGUAAACUCUUGACUUCUUCAACUUAUACCGAUUCCGUUCCAUACUUACACAACUUUUUCAGGACACAUCGGUUGCUAUAGGAACUUCAUCGGUAACUUUCACUGUUUCAACCAAAAUUUCAUCAAUACUCUGUUACCCUUGUACUUAAGAAAUUUUAAUCGUUGUAUCAGCAAUCUAGCAAAUCGGCGAAGACCAGAAGUACCAAGACGACUGCCGAUGCCCCCCAGUCCAGCCAAGUAAAGAGAAAGGGUCCCAAGAGUGCCAAGUCACAAGCAAAGCGUCAGAGGAUAGUAUCACCUCCUCCCCCUCCUCUAGGGUCACCGAUUCACGUGGAAUCAUCUCCUUCUUCACCAGAGGCUCAGACGCAGCAAGCACCAUCUCCACCUCAGCCACAAGAGGUAUCUCGGCCAGAAGAAAUAUCAGCCGAUGUACCUGAGCAGACCGUCGAUCCAGCGGGACCAAUCAUUUCAUCGAUAGUCUCCUCCAUCCAGACAAGCACUGCACCCCCUCAAGGUAAAGUACUAUCUAUGAAAUCAUUGCGAUGAACCUAUCCUUCCAUCUUAUAAUUAUCCCUGCUAAUUUUUUAGCUGACAUUGUCCCAUCGGCAACUCCGGCCGAUCAACCUGUAGUACCAUCGGCCUCAACUAGCCAGAGGCGAGAAAUAGCCUUGAAACAAGUAAGCUAUUUGAUUGUCAUUCUUUAUUUUACUAACAUUGCAUCAUCAAAUAACCCAUCUCCUUUUCUUUUUCAGGAACAAGAUUCUCCCGACAGCCUGUUCUCCUUUGCCAUCAAAAUUUCCAAAGAUGAAGGCGAGGAAGCAAGCUCUUUCCAAGCAAUCGGGAUCUCAUCGGCAGAAAUCGGAGCAAAGCUGGAAGAUUUGCUGGCCCUGCUUCAUCAGGAUACAGCCCAAUUGGUUGAUGACUCCGAUCCAGCCAAGGCUCUAUUUAAAGCUCUCAGAGGCCAAGUUUCUGCCGAUGCCGAGGAGACCCUCUUCAAGGCUGCACACUUGGAGAGUCAACAGCUUCAGUACCAAAAGGAUGCUCAGCGCCUUGCCGAUAGAGCCGCUCAUGCCCAGCUUUCAGAGGAGGUGAUGGAAGUGAAGCACCUUGCCGAUGAGAAACACAAGAGCAUCGGCGUUCUGAAAUCCUCCGGGGACACACUGAAACAAAAGAUAUCCGACUUAUCGGCAAAAAGGGAAGCCUUGUUGGCAGAGCUUAAGCAAGUAGAAGAGGCCCUGUCCCAAGCUCAACACGAAGAAAGUCAGCUACCCGAAACGAUCAAGACCCUCAAACAAGAGCGAAAUGUCCAAGCUCGCAAGGCACUGCAGAUGAAGAAGAAGCUGAAACAGGUGGAAGGCUCUGCCGAUGAAGAUAUGAAGGAAAUAGAAGAAGCGAAUCAAAUUCGUCUACGCGCCAUAUCGGCGAUCCAAUCUCUGCUGAAUGUAUGAACUCCCCAUCGGCGGCAUGUUUUGCUUUUUCUUCAAAACUGCUGAUUAUUUUGGUCUAGCCGAUAGGACUGUUAUCGACAUUUCUUGAAACAUCGUAUUCAGUUCGAAACACACUUUAAUCCAGCCGAUAGGAAUGUUAUCGGCACUUAAGCUUUUAUGCAUCGACCCAUAUGCUUGGGUAAUAUUUCUUCAAAUAUUUUCCAUUCAACACUCUAGAAAAUUCAACUCCUUCGAGAGUUUCCAAAAUAUAGGCAUUACCAGGAGCAGAUCUAUUUAUUCGAUAAGGACCUUCCCAAUUGGGAGACCACUUGCCAAACGUUGAACUUUUAGUCCCAAUCGGCAAUAUUAGUUUCCAUACCAAAUCUCCAUCAGCAAAUUCCUUAGCCUUUACCUUCUUAUCAUACCAUCUGGCAACUCUCUUUUUAUUUUCCUCUAUAUUUAUUAAAGCCUUCAGCCGGUGCCCUGCUAAAUCAUCUAACUCAUCUUUCAUCAAAGUAGCAUAGUCAUCGGCAGCCAGCUGAUCUUGGAAAGAUAGUCGCCUAGACCCAGUCUUAAUCUCCCAUGGCAGUACUGCAUCGUGCCCGUAUACCAACUGAUAAGGCGAAACUUUGGUCGACCCAUGACAAGUCGUCCGAUAUGACCACAAUGCUUCAUUUAGCAAUGUAUGCCACCUCUUAGGAUUUUCCUCAAUUUUCCGUUUGAUAAGCUUAAUAAUUCCUUUGUUAGAUGCCUCGGCCUGCCCAUUGGCUUGAGCAUAAUAAGGAGAAGAAUUCAACACUUUAAUUCCCAUACCGAUUGCGAAUUCAUCAAACUCUCCCGAUGUAAACAUAGUACCCUAGUCGGUAGUAAUUGUUUGAGGAAAACCAAAUCGGUAAAUAAUAUGCUCGUUCACAAAAUCAAUCAUAUUGGCCGAUGUAACUUUCUUCAAAGGAAUAGCUUCAACCCACUUAGUGAAAUAUUCAGUGGCAACUAAGAUGAACUUAUGCCCUUUGCUCGAUGGUGGGUAAAUCUGGCCGAUCAGAUCAAUAGCCCAUCCUCGGAACGGCCAAAGUUUAAUAAUGGGAUUCAUGGCCGUUGCGGGUGCCCUUUGAAUAUUGCCAAACUUUUGACAUCCAUUGAAAUACUUAAAACAAUCUUCAAGUAUAGUCGGCCAAUAAUACCCAUUUCUUCUGAUCAUCCAUUUCAUCUUAAAAGCCGACUGAUGUGCUCCACACACUCCUUCAUGGAUUUCUCCCAUCAAACUUUUUGCUUCAUCAUCACCUAAGCAUCUGAGAAGAACCCCAUCUAUUGUUCGAUAAUAAAGCUCACCCUCCAGGAGCACAUAUUUGGUAGCUUGAAACCGGAUACGCCUCUCAACCUUCUUAGACAGAUCCUUUAAAUAAUCAAGAAUCUCUUUUCUCCAAUCAUCGGCACCGAUUGCCGAUAACGUAUUCAAUAUGGGUUGAUAUCCCGAGGCAUGCUGAGCCAACCGAUUAGCCUCCUCAUUAUGUAACCGAGGAACAUGCUCUAAUCGGAAAUCCUUGAAUUCCUUUAACAGUCGCAUACUCUUUUCAUAAUAGACUAUCAAGACCUCGCUUCGGCAUUCAUAACUUCCAGCCAAUUGAUUUAUAACCAGCAUAGAAUCCCUAAAGAUUUCAACAGCAUUAGCAUGAACUUCUUUUAACAAUUCCAACCCCUUGUUCAAAGCUUGAUACUCGGCUUGAUUAUUUGUUGAUGUAGCAACAAUCGGCAAAGAGAACUCAUAUUUCCUUUUGCCGAGGGGAAACUAACACUAUGCCGAUUCCUGCCCCCCGGUCGCACGUGGAUCCAUCAAAGAAGAGCGUCCAAGGCACAAUUUCUAAAGUUUUCACUUUACCGCGAUGUUGAGCCACAAAAUCAGCCAUAAUGUGACCUUUAACCGUUUUAGCCGAUUCGUAACGUAGAUCGAAUUCCGACAACGCCAAAAUCCAUUUACCGAUUCUACCACUCAUAAUCGGCAUAGAUAGCAUAUAUCGGACCACAUCAUCUUUGCAUAUAACAGUGCAUUCGGCCGACAGCAAAUAGUGCCUCAACUUAAUGUAAGAAAAAUAUAGGCAUAAACACAAUUUUUCAAUGGCCGAAUACCUGGUCUCAGCAUGAAUCAAUCUCCUACUCAAAUAGUAAAUCACACGUUCCUUCCCUUCAAAUUCUUGAAUCAAAGCCGAGCCGAUGACCAUCCCAUCCGUAGACAAAUAUAAUCUAAAGGGCUUUCCUUGUUGAGGUGGAAUCAGAACUAGAAGAUUUGUCAAAUAAUUCUUGAUUUCAUCUAAGGCCAAUUGUUGUUCUUUUCCCCAUACAAACUCUUGAUCGGCUUUCAAUUUAAGCAAAGGACUGAAAGCACGAAUUUUACUAGACAAAUUAGAUAUAAAUCGCCUGAUAAAAUUUACCUUGCCGAUCAAAGACUGGAGUUCAGUUUUGUUGGUAGGGGGAACUAUCUUGUUGAUAGCAUCAAUAGAUCGUCUACCAAUUUCAAUUCCUCUAUGAUGCACCAUGAAACCAAGAAAUUGCCCUACCGAUACACCAAAUGCACACUUAUUUGGAUUCAUCUUUAAACCAUGUUUUCUUGUGCACUCCAACACCUUUCGUAGACCGACAAGAUGCUUUGUGAAGUCUCCAGACUUAACCACCACAUCAUCAAUAUCUAUUUCCACCAACUUGUUGAUGAACUCAUGAAAGAUAAAAUUCAUAGCCCUCUGAUAAGUAGCACUAGCAUUUUCCAAGCCAAAGGUCAUGACUAUCCAUUCGAACAACCCAACAUGACCAAGACAUCUAAAUGCGGUCUUCGGAAUAUCUUCCUCAGCCGUGAAUAUUUGAUUAUAUCCUGCAUUGCCACCUGUUGACACUUGCUAACACCACUUGAAUACUAGGUUGUCUUCCCCAGCAUGGCACCAGAGUGUACUAUGGUAUUUAUACGCACACAGAUAAAUCCGCAAGCGCACGGAUACCGUUGUAGCUUUUACCCGGUUAAAGGUUUUAUCUUAUCUACAGGGAAACGGGAGAACUGAUCUACGCUCUAACUUAACCUAGAUAGAUAGGUAGGUGUAAAUAGGAAAGAUGGUAGAAUUGAAUAAGAACAAUAUUAAAAGUAAGAUAACAAUGAGUGAUAAUAUGAGAAUAGAGAGUAGAGCAAUCUAGUAUACGGGCGAUGGUAGGAGAAUAGAGAGGAUAACUAUGGUUUCUCUACUUCAAAGGGGUAUCUCUAUGUCUGGGACGAACCACCUGAUAAGAAUACACUGUUGGGUAUUCUUAACAUCAUUACCAAAAGUAGACUAAGUUCUCUAAAUCUAGUAACGGUGCCAAAAAUGCCAAACCUAUCCCUCAUACCACUUAAGCCAAGUUGUCAUCCCCAACAUGACAUGAGAGACGCGGUAUUGAAAUAUGCAAUUGCUCUUCUAAAUAAAUAAUGAAUGGUAUCUGCAAGCGCACAGAUUAAUACCGAUGUAGCAUUUUAACCGGGAAGUAUUCCAGGUAUCGUUAUUUAUAUUUUUACCACUGGGAAGGGAUUAGCAAUCAUCAAUAUUGAUUACAGAAUAGAAUAUGAGAUUGAGUAUCUAUCAUUGCAUGUAUAAUUGAGAACAUUUAUCUAACUCUUUCAUACAGGGGUAAGUGUCACAUAAAAGAUAUAUGAAGUAAUGAAUAGUGACAAAGAUAAUUAAUCUGAUCAUAACUUAGCCACAUAUAAAUAUGAUAAGCACCUCAAUUAGAUACUCUAGAAAGUCAUUAGCAUGAAAUUAGAAUGAACUACAAGAAUAUUUCCUAAGUUAUUCUAAACUAUAUAGUCUAGCAUUAUCAUAGUUAGUGCAAGCAUACUUAGCAAUCAUUGCGAGACAAGACUACGCCCAUGCAUAGUGAUAUUAGCAAGGUAAAUGAGAAACAUAGCAAUCACUCCCCUGUAAUAAUAUUGCUCUGCCAGCCCAAUACACGAGAGGGGGACUAAAUAAGAAUCAAUGAAGCUGUCACUAUCACGAACUACCCCACGAUCUGGCAUACUGGGUACAAUCACAGAUAAAUACGGUAUAAGCACCACGCCUACACAAUAUCUAUCAUUUACCCAUGGAUCCGAUGGAUAAACGCUAUACGAUCCUAAGCAUGUAUAUAGAUCCAAUCUGUUGCCAAGUACAUAACUAUGAUAAACUAAGAACAAUAUACUCUUGAAUAUAAACAAGUAGAGCAAAGUCAUAAGCAAUAUAUUGAAGUAGAACAAAGUCAUAUUCAUAAUAUUGAAGAACAAAGAUGAUUAGAAGAACAAUUAGAAGCACAAUUAGAGAAUUACCAAGAAUCCUCUUGACAGAUCCGGAAACCAAUCGAAGAUUGACUCCUUCUGGUUCUAAUCCUAUGUAGCUAUGCUAAUCUAGAUGUCUAAUUGAUGUGGUGGCUCUAAUCUCGAUCGGAGGCUUUUCUCCCUUGAGGAAUAAUGAAUUAGGGUUGAGAGGCUCUCUCCUCCAGGGGCCAGGGGGUCUGGUUUUAUAGUCCCUUCGAGUGAAUAUGGGCCGUUGGAUCAAACCGACAUUGAUUGAACGGUUAUCCUUGAUCCUUUAGGUCGGUGGAGCGUAAUCCGCGAGUCGGGUCCUGAUUGGACUCUAGCUCAGGGCGGGCGCCCUAGGGGGGAGGGCGGGCGCCCUGCGCCCGGGCCCGAUCGCCUUCCCGUUCGUUCCUGUGGCUUCUGGAGUCUUCUAGAUGAUAGAAAAUUGCGCGGCACGUUAAUAUCUCUAUGUAAACCUGACAUGUGGGCCUUUCCUCCAUAUUUCCUGAUAACCCCCCUGUAGAAAUAGACAAACACCAAAACUCAUGGAAUUAUGUCAGAUAAAACCCUAAGUUUGGGUGUUGGUUGUAUUUGGAUCCUUUUCUUUAUUUAUUUGAUGAUUAUAUUUGGUACUUAAGGACCGUCAACAACUCCCCCAGGCUUACUUCUUGCUCGUCCCUAAGCAAGGAUGGACUCAAGAGUUUCUGCAGUGGUUUCAUGCCUUAAAAUACACAUGCGUUCAAGCAAGAUCUCAUCUCUGAGUUAAAGUAAACUGUUAAGACUUAAAACUUACUCAUUUUACCUUUCACCAUGGGGCUUGCAACCGUCACUUGUGUCUCGAGCAGUUAAAAGAUAGAAUGGUCAAGUCAAGCGCCAUGUCUCGUAUUCUUGAUCAGCUAUAGCUCUGGAGUUUUUGCAGAUUUUCAAACAAAACUCAGAGAUUCCUUGUAUGACUCUCUCAAAUCUCUCUUUUGUGGUAUUUCUCGAUCCUUUCCGAGGCAGUAAUGGUAUAUGUCUUCUCUCAAAGUAUGUGGUAUUUUUGGUAUGAGGCAUAGUGAUAUUACCUUCUCUCUCACCCUACUCUAAUAAGGUUUUGAUAUCUGGAGCUCAUAGGUGGGAGACAAAUAAUACAUACUUACAAGACAUUUAUUGCAUAGUCAAACCAUGGAUCCAGAGAAACAAGUCAAUAAGUCAAAUCAAGAUGUGCAUGUGUGGCGAGUGAAUGGUGUAUGGUGAUAACAAUGGUGAAAGUCUAAUUCUACUUUUGCUCUUUUGAGGAGAUACAUACCUUUCUUGCACUUGAAGCUUUUUGAGGGGAAUGAGAUGCUCUAUAUUUUCUUUUUCUUUUCUCUCAGGUGGGUAUAUUGUAUCCCUAAUUCUACUGUCGGACACUUGUCCAUUUUUACCUCUCGUCUCACUAUUUCUUUUCUUCGAGGUUCCGGACACUUGCCCCUUUUUAUUUCCUUGUAUUAUUUUUUUUCAGUGCACUCACCCUCCUAGAAUAAUGUAGCAAGUGGUAGUAACCAAAAUAUCUCGAGCAUUUAUUUCACGGGGAAUAACAGGGAUAGGAUAAUGUUUUUUGGCUAUUCUCUCCCAGAUAUGAGUAGAAUCGUUUUAGGUGAAUCUGGAGAUGGGAAUGAGUGGAUGUAUGUGGAUGCGUACUUCCAGAGUAGAAGUAGCAUGUAUCAGUGAACGUGCAAGUGAAUCUUGAUUUUAACCGCAUGACAAGUUCCUAAGGGUCUACAUAACUUGACCAUACUAAAUGCUCAUAAGUAGUAAAUGUACCAUUCAUAGUCUAAUAAGCAUGUAUAUGUGGAUGUGGUAGGAUUUUAAACUCUCAUCAUACAGGAACUCAUCAUGCACAUUUUAAAGAUUUUAAAAGAUAAAAUUCUCUAGAAUUCUAGCAUCUCUAGGAACAGAUAAACAGCAGCUCAACCUCCCCAUAUCAUAACCGUUAACGACUUAGACUUUAGAUCAAGUACUCUUCCCACAAGUUCAGGUUUAGAGCAAAUCUUAAUUCAUAACAGUCAUGCCUAAACAUGAGUGAUAAUUCAAUUUUGAGAACUAGUCAUGGUAGAGCAACUAUUCAUUAUUUCCAUGUGAGAGCUUAUCAUG